AGGGGGGUACGUUAAAAGCAGUAAAAUCUUCCAAAGGAAAGAAGAAGAGAGAGAGCAUAGAGGGGAAAGAUGGCCGGAGGAGGAAAAAUGCUUCGGACUCUGGGUGUGACUCUGCAUCAAAGAAAUUAAAAGGAGACAGGGGUGAAGUAGACAGUAAUGGGAGCGAUGGAGGUGAGGCAAGCCGAGGGCCCUGGAAAGGAGGUAAUGCCAGUGGAGAGCCAGGGCUGGAUCAGAGAGCCAAGCAGCCACCAUCUACAUUUGUUCCCCAAAUUAACCGCAACAUUCGCUUUGCCACUUACACCAAAGAAAACGGCAGGACUCUGGUGGUACAGGAUGAGCCCGUAGGUGGGGACACACCUGUACCUUUCACUCCAUAUUCUACAGCCACAGGUCAGACACCUUUGGCCUCAGAGGUGGGUGGAGCCGAAAACAAAGAGUCAGGAAAAACACUGGAACAAGUUGGCCAGGGCAUGGUGGCUUCAGCAGUUGUGGUCACUUCCGCCAGCUCCACCCCAACCACGGUGAGGAUCUCAGACACUGGCCUUGCAGCAGGGACUGGGCCGGAAAAACAGAAAGGCAGCCGGUCACAGGCCUCAGGAGAGGUGAGUUGCUCUAGGGGCAGAUUUGCUAGAUUUGUGUUUACUCUCUCACCCUUCCUUAUUGUUAACACCUUCACAGACAUCUCAAAUGCCCUAAGGAAGGAAUAUUUCUGAGAUAUGCUUAAAUUAUAUUCUGUGGCUAGGCCUUUACUGCUCUCCUUGAGCAAAUGUGUACAUUUUAAUAACUUUAUCAGUUUUUAAAAGCCACUUGAACAUCUGGACUCAGCUGCGCAUACCUGUAAUCCCAUCAAUUUAGGAAUCAGAGGCAGGAGGAUUACAAGUUUAAAGCCAGCCUCAACAACUUAGUGAGGUCUUCUCUCAAAAUAAAAAUUGACUGGGAAUGUGGCUCAGUGGUUAAGUGCCCCUGGGUUCAAUCCCCAGUACAAAAAAAAAAAGUCACCUGAACAAUUGGGCUAAUCAAAAACUGGUUAUACAACCCAAUUUAAUGAGAUUUAAAAUAGAUCUGAUGGGGAAUCUUUUUAAUUCAAUUAUCUAUUUAGUUCACCAAGUAGUUGAACCUCCACCAAAUCUGAGAGGCAAGAUUAAUGAAUUAUAGUGUUGGUAAUAGUGAACACUAUAAUUAAGGCUGUGAGUCCAAGCUACCAUUACCCUAUUUUCAGUUCAUCAUUUUCUGUGAUAUUUUCCCUUGAGUCUAGGUUACUUUCCAUCGUUUAGUAUGGCCAUAAAAGUUUUUCCCUCACUAAUUUCAUUCUUUUAAUAAGCCUUACUUGAUGGAUUUAAUCAUAACAGUUAUUGCUUUGGUCUUUAUCUGAUAGGAUUUUUUUUUUUUUUUUUUUGCUAAAAUGGAACUUUUGUUAAAUGUAAGUUAAUGUCAAGUUGACACUGCAAUCCAAAUUUAAGACAGUAUCAAAAUCUAUUCUUUUGGUACUAGGGGCUGUGGCUCAAUGGUAGAGCGCUUGCCUGGUACGUGUGAGGCACUGGGUUUGAUCCUCAGCACCUCAUAAAAAUAAAAACUAAAAGCCAGGCAUGGUGUUGCAUGCCUGUAAUCCCAGCGGUUUGGGAGGCGGAGGCAGGAGAAUCACAAGUUCAUAGCCAGCCUCAGCAAUUCAGCAGGGCACUAAGCAACUCAAUGAGACCCCAUCUCUAAUAAAAAACAAAAUAGGGCUGGGGAUUUGGCUCAGUGGUCUAGUGCCCCUGAGUUCAAUCCCUGAUACCAUAAAUAAAUAAAUAAAUAUGGGGGGGGUUUUUGUCCGUCUACAACUAAAAAAAUAUAUAUUUAAAAAUUGAAUUUCUUACUGAUUUUGGUCACCAAACUGAUUCACAUAGGCCAACUCAAGCUAGAGUAUGAAGUGAAAAGAUGAAAUGCAUAAUGAUUUUUUUAAAGUACAUAAGCCAGCCAUGGAGGCACGUGCAUAUAGGCCCAGCUACUCAUGAGGCUGAGGCAGGAGGAUCAUUUUAGCCGAGGAAUUUGAGGCCAGCCUGGACAACAAUGAGACCCCAUCCAAAAAAAAAAAGCAAAAUAAUAUAUAGGAAACUACUGUGUGCUAAGUACUGUGCAUUAUAAAUAUUUUAAAUCACUACUUAAAGGAACCCACACACCAAAAUAGGAUAAUUUCAGGUAUAACAACACAGAUAAAGCAUGACAUAGGACUGGGUGAUAUGGUUUAAUAGAAAAAAAUCUUGCCUAGCAUGCAUGAGGCCUUGUGUUUGAUCACCAGCCCCACAAAGAACAAAACAAAGCAAACAAAAAACCCAUGGUAUAUAAAUUUCAUCUGACUAAUUCCUAAUUCUAGCAAAUACAAUGUGUUAACCCCUAAUAUAUAGGAAUAGAGAGCGAGAUGAAAUGCCUAGGUAAAAGAGGACUGUAAAUGCAAAUUUCACACUGUUUAUGAUUUUUUCCUCAGUUAGUUGACCUAUAGUCCCAAAAGAACCAGGUGAGGAUCAUAGAUGAGUUUCCAAUGUGUAAAAAAAAAAAAAAAAAAAUCUUCAUAAUUUCUGCACCAUUUAAAAUCAACUCUGUGUUAAGGCAGUAUGAAUGUAAAUGAGAAUUACAAAGUAAACCAAAUUUGUGACCUACAAGAAAAGAUCCAGUGAAUGUCACUGUUCUUGGAGUAGCAAAGCUGAUAGAUGAAAUGUGGAGUCAAUAUUUUUUUCAAAUAGGUUGUAGAAACUUCUGUGAAUAUCAUUUUGCUCAUGUUUUAGCCUCUUUCUGCAGUAUGAUUUAAAAUUACAGACAUGAAUGUUUCUGUUACAAUUCUUAAUCUGAAAUAGAGAAAUAGUUACCAGGACUUUCUUGCCCUAAAAGCUGGAGUUGAAAUCAGUUUGUCAUCGCUUUCUUAUAAGGAAAGGAUUUGGAAUUUGAUCAUUUAAAAGAAAAUGAAAGACCAUCCAAAUUAUUUUUCAUUCAUGUGUGUAUUUAUUUUUAAAGGAUAAUGUUAGUAGUAAAACAUGAGCUACUCGUGCAGGUUUCUUGCAGUCAUACAGAUGUCCAGGCUCUGAGCCAAUCCUGCUAGUGAAACAACAGCAAAAUCUCAGGGCUGUGUCAGUCUUAUUUUGGGUGGUGGGGGCAGGGGGGCAUCUUAAAUCAAUGCUUUUGUAGUUAGUAAGAAAAAAAAAUGAACUUUAAUUUUUUAACUCUAAAAUCUGUCAACAGAUGUCAACUGCAAGCAAGCCAUAGGAAGUGUCCCUGGUUCUUCUCCUUCUAUGUCACCUUUAAGGAUAUUUAGCAUUGUAUCAUUUUAAAAUGUAUGAUUCUUUGGCAUGUAGUACAUUCACCAUGUUAUAAAACCACUACCACUAUGAGAUCCAGAAAUUUUUCUCCUUUAAAAUAAAACCCCAUAUUCAUUCAGCAGUGAUGGAAUAAUUUUUUAUUUCCAAUGUUUACAAAUGAAUGUUUAGGUAUCAUUCUCUACUACUUGAAAGUUGGUUGGUGUUUUUGUUUUGUUUUGUUUUAGUUAAUCUACAUUUCAAGUCAAGUGCUAGGAUCUGAGUUUUAUUAAAUUAACGAGUACUACAUAAGGGCUCAUAGCUACCUAAGAGUGUCUCUGUGUGUGCAUAUGGGUACAUAAUGUAUAUGAAAGUGCCCCUACCCUUAUUUAUACAUAUAUUCAUUCACAUGCAGAAGUUAACAUGGGAAGCAUUAUAUAACAUUUUAUUUUCCAAUUUGUUAGGCUAAGUGUUUUUAUUUGGUGAAUAUUUCAGUAAUGUACAUUUUUCCUUUGGGGACUUUUGUUAGAUCAUAAUUAUAACAGAAGAUCUCAAUGGAUAGCUUUCUUUAUUUUAGCAUCUUUAGGAGUAAUAUUAAUUGCAAAUUUUAGGUAGAUUUAAACCAAUAAAUGGCCAGUUUCCAAAAGGAUCCUUUUGUGGAGUUUCAGAUUAAUAAAGAUACUUUUUCUUUAAUAAGUGGGCUUAUCAUAGAAGUGAAGUUACUUUCUAUAAGAUGAAGAUAUUUGCAAUAGCUUAAAUAAAUCAAAACUUUGUAGUUUCUAAGGUCAUUCAGAUAGAUUGAUAUUACAGAGGUCACUAGGUAAAUUUCAAAGUAAAAGCUGUCAUCAGGAAUCUUCCCACAGUUCCCUAACAGAGUCUCUGUUUUCAAAUACUGUAAAUACUAAAAAGCCUACACACCUUUCUAGAACUGACCCAUUGGGUAACAACUAAAGGAGAGGCAGGUUGAAUGACAUCUCUGGCUCAUCUUGCUAGAGUUAAAAUGCCCUCUGUGGUUUAUGGCAAGUUUUUUCCCUUCCAUUGCUGGUGAAAUCCAGAAGAGCAAAUAAGUAGAAUUGUAGGAGAGAAAAGUUGAUUGAUCAAUUGAUCAAUAAUAAAUAUUGAUUCAAUGAUAGGACAAGAAAGAGCUCAUUAGGUUGUCAUCUGAAGCCAGUGUCACUAAUUCAGGCUAUCUUCCUUUCAGAAUUCAAGAAAUUCUAUUCUGGCCUCUUCUGGAUUUGGAACAUCUCUCCCAAGUUUAUCACAACCAUUGACUUUUGGAAGUGGAAGGAGCCAGUCCAAUGGGGUUUUAGCUACAGAGAACAAACCUUUGGGCUUCUCUUUUGGCUGUAGCUCUGCUCCAGAGUCUCAGAAAGAUUCUGAUCUCUCCAAAAACUUGUUUUUUCAAUGCAUGUCCCAAACGUUACCCACCAGUAACUACUUCACUACGGUUUCAGAGAGUUUGGCUGAUGAUUCCUCUAGUCGGGACUCAUUCAAACAAAGCCUUGAGAGUCUGAGCUCAGGCCUGUGCAAAGGCAGAUCCACUCUUGGAGCAGACACUAAGCCAGGCUCUAAGGCUGGCAGCGCUGUGGACCGGAAAGUGCCUGCAGAGUCCAUGCCCACCCUUACUCCAGCCUUCCCCCGGAGCCUCCUAAAUACCCGCACCCCAGAGAGUCAUGAAAAUCUAUUUUUACAGCCCCCUAAACUGUCCCGAGAAGAGCCUUCUAACCCUUUCCUGGCAUUUGUGGAGAAAGUUGAACACAGUCCUUUCAGCAGCUUUGCAUCUCAGGCAUCAGGUAGCUCUUCCUCUGCUACCACUGUCACCUCCAAGGCAGCAACCGGCUGGCCCGAGCCUCACUCGUCUGCAGAUUCAGCAUCUUUAGCAAAGAAGAAAACCCUCUUCAUUACAACUGAUUCCUCCAAGCUGGUGUCUGGUGUUCUAGGCUCAACUCUUACCACUGGGGGUGCAAGCCUCUCUGCCAUGGGGAAUGGCCGCUCCAGCUCACCCACCAGUAGCCUCACCCAACCCAUUGAGAUGCCUACUCUCUCCUCAAGCCCCACAGAGGAGAGGCCAACUGUGGGACCUGGGCAACAGGACAAUCCCCUCCUCAAAACCUUUAGUAACGUCUUUGGCAGGCACUCGGGCUGCUUUCUGUCCUCCCCAGUAGAUUUUUCGCAGGAGAACAAAGCUCCUUUUGAAGCUGUGAAAAGGUUCUCACUGGAUGAGCGAAGCUUGGCUUGCAGACAGGACUCAGACUCUAGCACCAACAGUGACCUGUCAGAUUUGAGCGACUCAGAGGAACAGCUGCAGGCCAAGACAGGCCUGAAGGGGAUUCCAGAACACCUGAUGGGGAAGCUGGGCCCCAAUGGGGAGCGUAGUGCGGAGCUGUUGUUGGGCAAGGGCAAAGGGAAACAGGCCCCUAAAGGCCGACCUCGGACUGCACCCUUGAAAGGUGAUCCUGCUAGGGACUAUACGUGGGCUUUGCUCUGGCACUUGCCUCAAAAUGCUUGUGCUUUUGUGCGGCAGAUGCCUUCAUAUUGAUGGAAAGUUCUAGAAUCUUAUAGAAUUAUAGAGGCAAAGAACCUGGCAGAGGCACCUUAUCAAACUUGGUUGAAUCUAUACCAGCAAUGUAAAAGGGUUAUCUGCUCAUAAAAGAGGACUAUUCAUCUUCAUUAGCUUGUUGUUUUUAAUUAGAAACUAUAUGUCCUUGUGUUGAUUUCAUUCCUUUCUAUUUCAUCAUCUUUAAUUUGCUUCCAGGGAGUUACUAAGAAUUAGUUUUCAUUCCCAUAUUAGUUUUCAUCCCUUUGUAGACUUGAUGAAACAAAAAGAUUCACUCCCUUGGUUUGUUCCUCUCUGAAAUGUAAGGAUUUUUAACGCCUCUACCAAAAAUCUAUGAAUUUAUGAUGUGAGGUUAUGGUCUAGAAGUGUAUAAGAGAAAGUCUGGUGGUAAAAGUAGCUGCUUUCAUUAGGAAUUGAUAUCCUGUGAGAGCCCAAAAAGCCUAGAUUAACAGUAGGCAUAUACUGAGUGUCUAAGGGCAGGUGAUGACUACCUUCUGCUGCAUGAGGCACAUACAGUUCUCCUUAGCUCCCAACCAAAGCCUCUUUGUUCCUUGCUCUUCCUUUCUGGGUUCAUGGUAGAUUAUGUGCCCAAGCAGUGCAAAGAGGAAUAGCCCUUUGACCAGUGUUUGUUCACAUGAGGAGUUUGUUAGUGGACCCUACUUAUGCUUCUUCUGACAGCCUUUUCUCCUCCCUUCCUUGCCACAGUUGGCCAGUCAGUGCUGAAAGAUGUGAGCAAAGUGAAGAAGCUCAAGCAGUCUGGAGAGCCCUUUCUACAGGAUGGGUCAUGCAUCAAUGUGGCACCUCACCUGCACAAAUGUCGUGAGUGCCGCCUGGAGCGGUAUCGAAAGUUUAAAGAACAGGAACAAGAUGAUUCUACUGUAGCCUGCCGCUUCUUUCACUUCCGGAGGUACCUAAAUUCCUCUCCUUGCUGUCAUUCCCAGUUUUCACUAGUGCCAUAUAAUUCCCACUCUUUCUCUAAAUCUAUAAAUUUGUCUUUCUCAGUUUUCCAUAACCCCUAUGCUCACAGGGUGUAUGCUGAGGCUUUGUUGUAGUAAUUACUUAGUUGUUGGAAAAUUAUCCGUGGGUUGGUCCUUGCAGGAUUGAAGUGGAGCAGUUUUAGCUGCUGCCAUGUGCUAUUCCUACUAAGCUGUUCCUAAGUUGGGUUCCAUUUGAAACCAGUGGUAUAAGCAGAAGAACUUCAUUUUAUUUUGGGAAUCUGCCUGACCACUUCUUCUUCUUCAGUGCUAGGGUGACUUGAGUCACUUAAGAGAAGUAAGAUUAGGAGAUGAUGUGAAGCACAUUUCUUUUUAUUUUCUCUCUCUCUCCCUUUUUUUUUUUUUUUGAGAUGAGUUUUUACUAUGUUGCCCAGGCUAUCCCUGAACCUGUAGGCUCAAACAAUCCUCCUGCCUCCGCCUCCUGAGUGCUAGGACUAUAGGUGCAUGUUACCCACUUGGCUCAAUGGAGUAUUUUUAAAAUAGAGAUAACUAAUGAAAACAGCAAUAUCUAAUCACUUUUCCUCUUCCUCUAUGAGAAACUUAGGAUCUGUCAAGGCUGAUUUUGUUUUGUUUUUGUUUAUUUGGCAAUACUGGGGAUUUAACCUGGGGGAUGUGGAGCUACAUCCCCAGUCUCUUUUUGUUUUUUGUUUUGAGACAGGGUCUUGCUAAGUUGUUGAGGCUGGCCUAAACCCAUGAUCCUCUAACCUCAGCCUCCCGCGUCAUUGGGAUUACAGGCAUGCACCACCAUGCCCAGCUAAGAAUCUUUCAUUUUUAAAAUUAAAAAAUCCAAAUGGCUGCUGGGCACAGUGGUACACGCCUAUAAUCCCAAUGGCUCGGGAGGCUAAGACAGGAGGAUCGCGAGUUCAAAGCCAGCUUCAGCAAAAGUGAGGCACUAAGGCUCAGUGAGACCCUGUCUCUAAAUAAAAAAAAGAAAAGCUGCUGAUCAGGGCUUGAGGUGUAGCUCAGUGGUAAAACAUUUGCCUAGAUGAGAAAAAUGUGGGAGGACCUGGGGUUUGAUCCCCAGCACCACCAAAAAAUAAAAUAAAAUAAAUAAAGGCUUAUUGGUGUGGAUGACCUUAUUUGGCAAAUAUUUAUUGAGCAUUUAAUAUGUGCCAGUCAUUAUUCUGAACAUUAAGGAUUCAGUAGUGAACAAAACAUUACAUUCUGGUCUCAGAAAGUUUAGGGAGGAAUUAAAGAAGCAGACAGACAAUAAGAGGAAAAAUAAAUUAAGUAAAUAUUAUGUCAAUUAGUAACUUGAGAAAAAUAAAGACGGGAAAGAGGAUUGAAAUUUCGGUAAGCUAGAGAGGCUACUAUUUUAAACCAGGUGAUCUGAGAAAGAGCAGGUUAAGGAAUGACCUAUUAGAGGUGAAAGAAUAAAGCCACACAGUUGUUAUUCAGGAGACAAGUAUUCCAGACAAGUGCUGCCAUUCUGAGACUGGAAUAUUCUUGAUACAUCCAUAGAACUAGUAUAGCUAAAAUAGAGUAAGCAAGGGGAGUAAUAGAGUUGAGAUCAAAGAAUUAAUGAUGAGUCUAGACUUAAUAGGGCUACUCUAAGGGCCUUGAUUUUUACUGUAAAUAAGAUGUUAUUCAAAAAAACAAAAAAGAAGUCAUUAGAGGUUUUGAGCUGAUGAGUAACACUGAUUAAUGUCACUUUAAGUUGGGCAUGGUGGUGCACAUUAUAAUAAUAGCUACUUGGGAGGCUGAGGCAGGAGGAUCACAAGUUCAACUUGGACAACUUGCUGAGACCCUGUCUCAAAACAGAUAAUAAAGGACUAGGGUUGUAGCUCAGUGGUAAUACGCUCCUGGUUUCAAUUCCCAAUUACCACCCACUGCUUUGACUACCUUUGUGGGAAUAGACUAUAUAUGAGGGCAAGGGGAGAAGCACAGAGAAGUUGAGAGACUAUUGAAGGCAGAGUACUCAGAAUUACCUGAUAGGCUAAAUUUGAAAUUUGAAAGAAUUUCCAGCUGGAGAGAUUGAAAUAACAGUUGGAUCUACACCUUUAGAGUUAAGGGAAGAGAUUCAACCUGGAGAUACAAAUUUAGAUAUCACCAGGGAUUUAAAGCCCAUAGUCUAAUUUGAGACCUCAGGAGUCAGCAUGUAGAUAAAGACCAGAAGCAGGGCUAGGGUUGUAGCUUAGUGGUAGAGAUCUCGCCUAGCAUGCACAAGGCACUGGGUUUGAUCCUCAGCACCACAUAAAUGUAAAAUAAAGAUAUUGUGUCCAUCUAAAAAUUAAAAAUAAAAAAAGAGUCUUAGGACCAGAAGCAUUCUGAGAACUGAGCUCUGGCAUUCUCCAGAAAUGGGAAGUAUUAAAAGGAAUUAGUAAAGGGGACUGAGAAAAGACAGCCACUGAGGACAGAAAAACAGGAAGGUCGGGUGCAGUGGUACAUGCCUAUAAUCCUAGCGACUCAAGAGGCUGAGGCAGAAGGAUUUCAAGUUUGAAACCAACCUCAACAACUUAGGCCCUAGGCAACUCAGGGAGACCUGUCUCAAAAUUAAAAUUUUUAAAAAGGGCUGGGUAUGUGGCUCAGUGGUUAAGUUCCCCUGGGUUCAAUCCCUGGUACAAAAGAGGGAGAGAAAGAGUGAGACAACUGAAGAAAGCACUUCCAGAAAGGAAUAAGGAACUAUGUCAAAUGCUGGCAGGUUGUGUAAGGAAAGGACUGAAAGUGACCUUUUGAUAGCAAGAUGAAAUGACCUUGUCAAAAGUAGUUUUGGUAGUUUGGUAGGCAGAAUGUCUUAUUGUACUGGAUUAGGGAAAACAUAAAGGAAAGGAAAUGGUAGCAGACUUGAAGGAAACUUGGGUCUAACAAGCCAAAAAAAAUGGAGGAGGAUGUGAGGUUGAGAGUAUUUUUGUAAUGGUUAUUGUAGCACGUUUAAAUGCUGAUUUUGUAGAGCAUUAAUAAAUGAUAAUUGGAACCAGGCUUGGUGGUGCAUGCUUGCAAGCCCAGUGGCUCGGGAGGCUGAGACAGGAGGAUUGUAGGUUCAAAGCCAUCCUGUACAACAGCGUAAGACCCUGUAUCUAAAUAAAAUACAAAAUAGGGCUGUGGAUAUGAUUCAGUGUUCAAGUGCCCCAGAAAAAAAAAAAAGAUUGGUAGAGAAAAAGCUAGAUGAUAUAGAAAAGAGGGAAAUUAGUGGAGGAGUGCCUUUGGGUUGGGGAAAAGGGACGGGUGUAGGUGAAGAUAUUAACUUUCAAAUGGACCUCAUUCAGAGCAGGAGAUCAAAUGAAGAACAUGGGCCCAUUUGCAGGAGAGUAUCCACACUUUGGAAUGUGUGGGAUGGGAGCUUGUGAACAAUCUCUUCUGGCUUGUACCAGUAGAACAGGAAGUGAGGUUCUCACAGGGAAUGUAAUUUCAGAAGUAUGAAAAGAAGGAGAGUAUGAAAAUAGGCAUCUAGGAGAGAGAAUCCUCCUGAGGUAGGUAUACAGGAAUUUUAUUUAUUUAUUUUUUUUAGUUUUAUUUUUUGUGGUACUGUAGAUCAAACCCAGGGCCUCACACAUGGUAGAUAAGUACCCUACCACUAAGCUACAUCCCCAGCCCUAUACAUGAGUUUAAAAUGUGAUGAUGAUAUUUUAUUUUUUUCUAGUCACAUUCAGUGGCAUGGGUGCAGUUGUAGAACAGGGAGACAGAAAAACUGAUAAAACUGGUGACAGCUUUUUAAAGAAUCAAUACCUGCUAAGUGUUAAGCCUUCGUAUUAGCUGAGAACAUGUGCAGUUAGCCCUCCAUAUCUACUGGUUUCACAUCCACAGAUUUAACUAACUGUAGAUUGAAAACAUAUUUAAGAUUACAACUGUGCGUGUAUUAAACAUGUAAACACUCUUUUCUUUGUUAAUUAUUUCUUAAUAUAGUAUAAAAAUUAUUUACAUAGUGUUUACAUUAUAUUAAGUAUUGUAAGUGAUCUAGAGAUGACUUAAAGUAUAUGGGAGGACAUACAUAGAUUUUAUGCAAGUACUAUACCAUUUAAACAACCACAGGUUUUGGUAGCUGGGGCAGGGCAGGGAUGUGGCCUGAAAGCAAACCUCCUUGGAUCCCAAGGACAACGGUAUUUGACUGUCUUCUUUUUUCAGGUUGAUCUUCACUCGAAAAGGGGUGCUUCGUGUGGAGGGGUUUCUAAGCCCUCAGCAAAGUGACCCUGAUGCCAUGAACUUGUGGAUUCCUUCUUCCUCCCUAGCAGAAGGGAUAGACCUAGAGACCUCAAAAUACAUUCUGGCCAAUGUUGGGGACCAGUUCUGUCAGCUUGUAAUGUCUGAGAAGGAGGCCAUGAUGAUGGUGGAGCCACAUCGUAAGACAUUCUCUUGCUUGUUUCCAGAUACUUUUCAUUGUAAACUGUUUUCUUUCACUUAAAGGAGGGUUAAAGUGGAAGAUGGCAUUUUUCUGUGAAUGAAUUAAGACCAAUAAGUUUUCUUUUUGUAGUAACUAUAGCUGAGGCCUUAACUAUAUCCAGCAGACUUUAUUUUUUCAAGUCUUUGACAAUUAACCAAAAAAAACUUACCAAAAUAAUUUUAUCAUUUUAUAAUCCUACCAGCAAUGUAUAGAGGUUCCUUCCCUGCCUGUCAUUUUUUGUUACACAGGUGCCAUAAGACACAUUUGAAUCCCCAAUUUUAUUUUUAUUUUUUUUAUUUCAAGACAGCACCUUGCUACAUUGCUUAGGGCCUUGCUAAGUUGCUGAGGCUGGCCUCAAACUUGUAAUCCUCUUCCCUCAGCCUCCCAUAUUACUGGGAUUACAGGCAUGUACUGCCAUGCCCAGCUGGUUUAUCCUGAAUAUUUUUAGUUUGCUUUAAACAUAUUUGUAUUAAUAAGUAAUACUCUGGUUUGUGAAUAAAUGAGGUGGACCACCUACCAUAUUUAUACCUAGAACCCACAUAAUUAUUAAGACAUUUAUAGUAGUUCCAUAUCUAUAAGUUACUAUACACUAUCCCCAGACCAGGAAAGACUAUACAUGAAAUCAUGUCCUAAAUUUCAAGAGACAAAUCUUACUUAAAGCUUUCCCCAGGUUAAAAUUUUAUAGUGUCUUAAGUGACAACAUGUAGCAUUAACACCAGGCUAUCAUAACCUGGUAUUACCACAGACCUUUGAAAUGUUAGACAUUCCUCAUAUAUUUUUUUCUCCUCUUAAAAUUAUAGAAGCACAAACUUCAUCCGAGCACAGUGGCACAUGCCUGUAAUCCCAGCAGCUUGGGUAGCUGAGGGGCAAGGAGGAUCACAAGUUCAAGCCAGCCUCAGCAACGGCAAGGUGCUAAGAAAAUCAGUGAGACCCUGUCUCUAAAUAAAAUACAAAAAAUUAGGGCUGAGGGUGUGGCUCAGUAGUCAAGUACCCCUGAGUUCCAUCCCCAGUACUCCCUUCAAAAAAGAAAGAAACACAAACUUCAUGAAUAUUUGAGUUUUAUUACUAGACAGAAUGGUUUGAAUGGGGAUCAGCGAAUCAGGGUCUUUUGCUAGUGAUUAGGAUUAUCAGUGCCAACAUUAUUACUUUUUCUCUUUCCACCAGAGAAAGUUGCAUGGAAGCGAGCUGUGCGUGGUGUGCGGGAGAUGUGUGAUGUAUGUGAAACAACUCUUUUCAACAUCCAUUGGGUUUGUCGCAAAUGUGGAUUUGGGGUCUGCCUUGACUGCUACCGGCUCAGGAAAAGCCGUCCACGGAGUGGUAAGCAAAUAUUGUCUGAUAAAAUUCUAAAGGGAACCUUUAUGUAUCAGUUGAGUUGUGAAACUUGGAAAUUGAAGGAGUAAUCAGCUUGUACUGCUUAGUUCCAUUUGUCUUUGUUGUAAGACCUUAAAAUUUCCAAUGCUCAGUUUAUCUGGGAAGGCUAAAAAAAAAGCCAGGAAGGAUCAUUCCUCAUCUUUCCUUGUUCUGUUUGGUUUUAAAAAUAUCUUUAUUGAAGUAUAAUUCACACCAUAAAAUUUACCCUUUUAAAAUGUAUAAUUAAAUGAUUUAAAUCAUAAGAUUGUGCAACCAUCACCAUUAAUUCCAUUUAAUAUCUUUUAGGAGUCCAUUCACCAUUCCUACCUCCCCCGGCCUUGGCUACCACUAAUUUAAUUUCUAUCUGAAGGUUUGCCUAUUCUGGUCAUAUCAUGUAAAUGGAAUCAUAAAAUAUUUGAUCUUUUGUGACUGGCCUAUUAGCAUAAUGCUUUAAAGUUUCAUCCAUUUGUAGUUCUUCAGUCUUUUUUCUUUUUCAGUACUCAGGACUGAACUCAGAGCCCAUGAGUGCUAGUCAAGAGUUGUACUACUGAGCUACAUCUCCAGCCCUUAAUUUUUUUUUUUUUUGUAAAUUUUUUUUAUAGUAGUGGACACAAUACUUUAAUUUUAUUUUUAUGUGGUGCUGAGGAUCGAACCCAGUGCCUCACAUGUGCGAGGUGAGCGAUAUACCAACUGAGUUAUAACCCCAGCCCCUUAAUUCUUUUUUUGUAUUGCCAAGCAGUAUUCCAUUGUAUCAAUAUAGUACUAUAUUUUUUCUAUCAACUGAUGUACAUGUGGGUUGUUUUCACUUUUGGCUGCUAUGCAUAGUGCCACUGUAAACAUUUGUAUAUAAGUUUUUGUGUGGACAUAUGAGUUGUCUUGGUUAUACACCUAAAAGUGGAAUGACUGGGUCAUAGGAUAACUAUACAUUUAACCUUUUGAGUACCUGGACAUGGUGGCACACACCUAUAAGCCCAGCUACUUGGGAGCAGAAGUUGGUAGAUCUCAUUUUGAGGCCAGCCUAAGCAACAUAGCAAAACCACCUCUCAAAAAAUAAUAAUUGGCCAAGUAUAUUGGCACAUGUCUGUAAUAUUAGUAACUCAGGAGUCAGAGACAGGAGAAUUGCAAGUUCAAAGCCAGCCUCAGCAACUUAGGCCCUAAGCAACUCAGUGAGACCCUGUCUCUAAAUAAAAUGAAUAAAAUAAAAAUUGCUGGGAUGUUGUUCAGUGAUUAAGCACCCUAGCUCCAAUCUCUGGUACCAAAUUGAAAAAAAGAAAAGAAAACAGGAUAACAUAGAUAAAUCAGUUUCAAAUAUUGAGCAUUAGGCAGUGUGGGACUAUGAUACCUGAGAGAAGGGGAGAAUCGGUGGUUCCUGCAAUUGUCCUAGCUUAGUACCUAGGGCCAUUUUCCAGGCUGUAACCCUGGAAAGGGAACUAAAACGGAAUCUGGCAACCUCACUACAUUGAGACAGAGGUCAGAGUCUGAGAAGAAUAAGCGUAGGACUGAAGAGAAGGGAGCUGCAGAGAGAACAUGAGGAAUCUACAGAGGUCCCUUCAAUUUUUUGUCAUAUACUGAUCUGCACAUGCAUGAGAUGAAACUCCUCAAGGCCUAAGAAUGAACUUUUAGUAAACAACUGAGUAAUUUGUAGACCUUACAAUUUGCAUUCCCAUCAACCAGAGUUAAGGAGAUACUUGGUAGAGUCCAAAAGAAUAACACCUUAAUACUGGACUUAAUAUAGCGCCAGAAUGAAAACUUCUCUGGACCUGCCAUAGGAAAGUGUAAAACAAGCCUCAGAAGAAUCAAACUGACAUGCAAGUUACUUAACUACACUAGAUUAAAGCCCAACAUCUCUUUUUAAGAGAUUACAAUAAAAUCAGUGCCCAGAAACAUAAAAGUCACAAAUUCUUUAUUUAGUUUUAAUUAUCAGAUUUGUAAAACCUGGGCAUAGUGAUACGUGAUUGUAAUCCCAGCUAUGGCAGGAGGAUCACAAGUUUGGGACUAGUUGGACAACUUAGCUAGACCCUGUCUCAAAUUAAAAAAAAAAAAAAAAAAAAUUAAAAGGAUUUGGGUUGUAGCUCAAUGGUACUGGUGGGGAGAAUUCAUAUAAUUCAAAAGAAGUCAAGAAAAAUGAAACUAAAAUAAACUGUAACAAAUAGAAAACAGCUUUAUAGGAAACCUACUUUAAAUGUGAAGACACAGUUUAAAAGUAAAAAAGACGGAAAAUUAUAUCCAUGGCUAACAUGACUUUAAAGAAGUUAACUGUGAGUAUCAGACAAGGUACACUUUAAAGCAAAUAAAUAUUAGUAAGUAUAAUGUAGGUCAUUUCAUAAUAAUAAAGGAAGAGCAAAUAAAUAUUAGUAGGUAUAAUGUAGAAAUCAGUUCAUUGACAAGAAAAUAACAGAGCUGGGGUUGUAGCUCGGUGAAAUUAGACAACAUGCUGUAAAUAACCCGUAGGUCAAAAAACAAAUCACAAGAGAAAUUAGAAAAUGUUUGAAAUGAAUGAAAAUAAGAACAUCCACAUUGUGGUAUGCAGCUAAUGCGGGGAAUUUUAUCACUAAACGCCUAUAUUAGAAAUGUCUCAUUUGCCUAAAGAAACUAGAAAAAAUGAAAAUAUGCAGUUUACCAGUAUUAAGAAUGAGAUGAUGAGGGCUAGGGUUGUGGCUCAGUGGUAGAGUGCUCGCAUGCACAAGGCACCCGGUUCGAUCCUCAGCACCACAUAAAUGUAAAAUAAAGAUAUUGUAUCCACCUAAAGCUUAAGAAUAAAUAUUUUAAAAAAAUAUGAGAUGACCUCACCACUAAUCAAUCAGACAUUAGAAAGGAUAAUGAAUAAAAUUAUGAACUUUAUGUCAAUAGACUUGAUAAGAAAUAUAACAAAUUCCAUGAAAGAUACAAACCAUCUGAAUUCUCUUAAGAAGAAAUAGAUUACCUGAAUAACCUUAUUUUAAGCAGUUGAGGCUACUCACCUGUAUUUUAAGAAAUUAAGGCUAUUGGGGCUGGGGUUGUGGCUCAGUGGCAGAGAGCUUACCUAGCAUGUGUGAGGCACUGGGUUCAAUUCUCAGCACAGCGUAUCAAUAAAUAAAAAAUAAAAAUAAUAAAAGUCCAUUGACAACUAAAAAAAUAUUUUAAAAAAAGGAAAUUAAGGCUGAAAGUUCAAGGUCAAGCUGGGCAACUUAGGCCCUGUGAAACUUAGUGAGACCCUAUCUUUUUUUUUUUUUAAUAUUUAUUUCUUUUAGUUGUACACAAUGCCUUUAUUUUUAUUCAUUUAUUUUUAUGUGGUGCUGAGGAUCGAACCCAGGGCCUCACACAUGCCAGGCAAGCGCUCUACUGCUGAGCCACAACCCCAGCCCCAAGACCCUAUCUUAAAAUAAAAAAUAAAAAGGGGUGGUGAAUGUAGCUCAGUAAUAAAGCACCCCUGGGCUCAAUCCCAAGAGAGAGAAAAGAGGAAAUACAUUACCUGAAUAAACUUAUUUUAAGAAGUUGAAGCUACUUAGGAGGCUGAAACAGAAGGAUUGCCAAGUUCGAGGCCAGCCUGAGCAACCUAGCAAGACCCUGUCUCAAAAAUAAAAUGGGUCCCUAGGUUCAGUCCCAAGUAGUGAGUAAGGGAGGACAAAUGAAUUUGUAGUUUAAAAAAACUUCCAAUGAAGCCAGGCGUGGUGGCACAUGCCUAUAAUGCCAGCGUUGAGGGAGGCUGAGACAGGAGGAUCACAAGUUCAGAGCCAGCUCCAGUAACAGCGAAGUGCUAAACUAAACUCAAUGAGACACCCUGUCUCUAAAUAAAAUACAAAAUAAGGCUGGGAUAUGGCUCCGGGGUUGAGUGCCCCUGAAUUCAAUCCCUGGUACCCACCCCCACCAAAAAAAAAAAAAAAAAAAACUUCCAAUGAAGAAAACUUAUGGCCCAGAUGGUUUUACUGGUAAGUUAUAACAAACAUUUCAGAAGGAAAAUACUAUCAAUUGUACUCACACUCUUUCAGAAAAUAGGAGAAAACACUAACUCAUUUUAUGAUGUUAGCAUUACAACACAUUAAUACCACAACCAGAUGAAGAUAUAACAAGCAAGGAAACUUAGAGCCCCCAAUAUCUCUCAUGAGUAUAUAUUUAACAGUUAAAAAUCAAUCAAUGCAAUUUAUUAUCAGUAAACACUAAACAUAAUUAUUUCAAGAAAUGCAGGAAAAAAACAUUUCUCAAGAUUCUCAACAAACAGCAGUGGUCAUGGCCAAGUGGUUAAAGUGAUGGACUAGAUUCUCAACAAAUUAGGUCAUGUAUUCUCAAAUGGUGAGAAUUGGUUCUUUCAGGAGAAGGGGAAUCUAAGAAGUUACAGGUUGACUAACCCUAAUUCAAUACCCUUGAGACAAAAAUGUUUCCAAUUUUAGAUAUUUUUAAAAAACAUUUUGUAGUGUUUACCAUAGACCUUACAGAUUGAACAUUCCUAAUCUGAAAAUCUUGAAUCUGAGAGCUGGGAAUAUGUGGUAGAUCCUCGCGUAGUAUGCAUAAAGUCCUGGAUUUGAUUCCCAGCAUUGAAAAAAAAAAGAAAGAAAAAAAACCUCUGAAAGUCCAAGAAAUUUUGAGCACACAUAAAGUUUCAGAUAUGGUUGCUUAACAUGUAUGACAAUGGUUCAUGCCUGUCCAGAGGACCACAGUACAUAAGCAGACAUAUUGUAUAUGUGGUAUUAAAAUCGUAGGAUGGCAAGCACAGUUUAAAAAAAGAAAAAAAAAAGCUUAAAGGGGCUGGGGAUGUGGCUCAAGCGGUAGUGUGCUCGCCUGGCAUGCGUGCGGCCCGGGUUCGAUCCUCAGCACCACAUACAAAGAUGUUGUGUCCGCUGAAAACUAAAAAUAAAUAAAUAAAUAUUUAAAAAAAAAAAAGCUUAAAAAUGUUCUUUGAAAGGAUGAUAAAGUUAGAAAAACACUCCAGUGUCAGUAGGAGCAUCAUACAUAAUUGGAAAGACUGGAAAGCAAGGAUGUCCACUUUCAGAACUCCUUGUCAUCAUCAUUGUGCUGGAAUGAUUAGUAUAAAGAAAUAAAAGACAUAAGAUUGGAAAAAAGUAAAAUGAUUAAUCUCACAUGGAAUGAUUAUGCAGAAAAUCCUAAGAAAUGUAUAGAAAAGUCAACCUACAGAAAUCUGUUUAUCUUAUUUCUAUGUGAUGGCAGUCAACAUUUAGAAAUUGAAAUUUAAAUCAAUAUCACUUAGAAUAGCAUCAAAACAUGAAGUGAGCUGAGCACUGUGGUGCACACCUGUAAUCCCAGCGACUCAGGAAGCUGAAACUGGAGGAUCCCAAGUUCAAAGCCAGAUUCUGCAACUUAGCAAGACCCUGUCUCUAAAUAAAAUAUAAAAAGGUCUGGGGAUGUGGCUCAGUGGUUAAGCACCUCUAGGUUCAAUCCCUGGUACAAAAAAAAAAAAAACAAACAAACAUGAAAUGGGGCUGGGGUUGAGGCUGAGUGGUACAAUGCUUGCCUGAGGCCAAUCUCCAGCACCACACACAAAAAAAAAAAACACCUUAGGGAUAAAUGUAGCAUAUCCAUAGAAGACAUAGAAUACCUAAGUAAAUGGAGAUAUGUACUAUAUUCAUGUACAGAUUGAAUACAAAGAUGUCAGUUCUUCUAAAAUAAUGUAUAAUUGAAAACAAUUCAAAAUCAAAAACCCAGUGGGUGUUUUUGUAGAAAUUGAUAAACUGAUUCUAAAAUUUAUGUGAUGGAGAAUGAUAUUGGCUAAAUUAUAUUGAGUGCAUGUACAAAUUAUACACAAUGAAUCUCACCAUUGUGUAUAAUUAUAAUGUACUAAUAAAAAUAUGGGAAAGAAAUGACACAUAAAUAAAUAAGUAAAGUUUAAGUGAAAUGCCAUAGGGCAUGGAAUGGUGGUCCACACCUUUAAUCCCAGUGACUCGAGGCUGAAGCAGGAGAAUCACAACUUCAAAGCCAGCCUGGGUAACUUGUGGGACCCUGCCUCAAAAAAUAAAAAGGGUUGGGGAUGUAGCUCAGUGGUAAAAUGCCCGUGGGUUCAAUCCCCAGUACUGCCUAAAAUUGUAUGUGAAAUGCAAAACCUAGAAUAACCCAAACAAAAAAAGAAAAAACAGAGUUGAAGGAUUGUCCUGUGCUUCAUUCCAAGACUUGCCAUAAUGCUGUAAGUAAUCAUUAUAAAAAAUACUGUAAGUGGACUAUAGUCCUAAAUUUAAAGAUUAAGGUGAAGAAAGUAUUUGUGUUCUUGAGUUAGACAAAUAUUUCUCAGGACAUGAAAAGCAAAAAAAAAAGAAAAAAUUUAAUAUCAAAUUUUAAAACUUGUUCUUCAGGGGCUGGGGCAGUAGCUCAGUGGUAGAGUGCUCACCAGGCAUGCAUGAGGCACUGGGUUCGAUCCUCAGCCCUACAUAAAAAUAAACAAAAUAAAGGCAUUCUGUCCAUCUACAGCUAAAUAUAUAUAUAUAAAAGUUGACUUUAAAAAAAAAAAACUUGAUCUUCAGAAGACACUGUUAAGGAAAUUAAAUGAGACCACAGACUGGGAAAAAAUAUUUAUCAAUCAUAUUCACUAAAGAAUUUUGUCUGUAAUACCUAAAGACCUCUCACAGCACAAUAACAAGACAACCAAGUUUUAAAAUGAGCAAAAGAUCCAAAAAGGAAGAUCAAGGGGGCUGGUGGUAUUGGUGGAGUGCUUGCCUAGCAUGCACAAGACCCUGGGUUCAAUCCCUAGCACCACACACAAAAAAAAUCAACCCCACAGUAGUAGCUCACACCUGCAAAUUCCAGCUACUUAGAAGGCUGAGGCAGAGUAUGAUGAGUUCGAGGUCAACCUAGGCAAUCAUAUGAUCUAGCUUCACUCUCUUAGGUUGUUAACAAAAGAAAUGAAAACAUGCCUAUACAAAGACUUGUACAUGCAUGUCUAUAACCACUUAUCUCAUUAUAGCUUGGAAGCAAUUCAAAAGUCUACUAAAUGAUAAAUAGAUAAGGAAAUUGUUAUAUAUCUAUACUUUAGAAUACCACCCAAAGAGAAUGAAGAGCUAAGGAUAUAGUUCAGUGGUAGAGUGCUUGCUCAGCAUAUUCAAGGCCCUGGGUUCAACUUAAAAAAAAAAAAAAAGAAUUACUGGUACAAACAAUACAGAAAUACAGAUGAAUCUCAAAAGUGUAUGCUGAGUAAAACCCAACACAAGUGACUACAUCCUGUGUGCUUCCAUUCAUAUGAAAUUCUAAUAAUAUAAAACUUUAGUAUUAAAAAGUGGAUCAGUGAGGGGCUGAGGUUGUGGCUCAGUGGCAGAGCACUUGCCUUGCACAUGUGAGGCACUGGGUUCAAUCCUCAGCACCACAUAAAAAUAAAUAAGCAAAAUAAAGAUAUUGUGUCCACUUAUAACUAAAAAAAAAAAAAACUGGAUCAGUGGCCAGGUGCAGUGGCACACUCCUAUAAUCCCAUUGGCUUGGGAGGCUGAGGCAGGAGGAUUAGGAGUUCAAAGCCAGCCCCAGAAACUUAGCAAGACCUUAAACAACUUAGUGAGACCCUGUCACUAAAUAAAAUACAAAAUAGGGCUGAGGAUGUGGCUCAGUGGCUUGAGUUCCCCUGAGUUCAAUUCCCCAUACCCGCGCCCCCGCCCCCCCAAAAAAAAUAAAAAGGUAGGAAGGAAAAUGGAUCAGUAGAAGCUAAAAUUCAACAAAGAGUAUUAGCUCAAGAUAUAGGAUAAAAGUGUUCUGUAUCAUGAUUGUGACAGAGUUUGUACAACUGAAUGAAUGUUUGUUGAAACUCAUUGAGGCACACAUUUUAAAUUGUUGGUUUAUUUUAUAUAAAUUAUAUCAGAGUAAAGCAGGUGUUUUUAAAGUUAGCUGUUACCUUCUUUCACCAUGAGAAAAUUUACCUUUAAGUUUUUGAAGCUUUGUCUCACUAAGAGGGAUCCAUCUUGUGAGCCUAAUAAAAUAAAUGAAAUCAUUCGUUUCUGUUUCAGAGACAGAGGAGAUGGGUGAUGAAGAGGUUUUCUCCUGGUUAAAGUGUGCAAAGGGACAGUCACAUGAACCAGAGAAUCUCAUGCCCACACAGAUCAUCCCUGGCACAGGUAAGGAAAUUUCUUUUUAUCUUUUUUUUUUCCCUAACAUGCAUAAGGCCCUGGGUUCGAAUACAAGCAAUGGGAAAAAAAAAAAAAAGAGGUACAUUGUUGGGUUUUGUUUUUGGUACCAGGCAUUGAACCCUGGGGCACUUAACCACUGAGCCACAUCCCCAGCCCUUUUUAUAUUUUUUAUAAAGACAGUGUCUUGGGCUGGGGAUGUGGCUCAAGCGGUAGCGCGCUUGCCUGGCAUGCGUGCGGCCCGGGUUCGAUCCUCAGCACCACAUACAAACAAAGAUGUUGUGCCCCCCGAUAACUAAAAAUAAAUAAAUAAAUAAAUAAAUAUUAAAAAAAAAAGACAGUGUCUUGCUGGUUUGCUGAAUCUGGCCUCAAACUUGGAAUCCUCCUGCCUCUGCCUAGUGUUUUUUGCUUUUUUGGUGUUUGGGGGUUUUCUUUCUUUGUUUUUUGUGCUACUGAAGAUUGAACCUAGGGGCACUUUACCACUGAGCUACAUCCUACACCCCCCAGCCCUUUUUUAUUUUUCAUUUUGAGACAGAGUCUCCCUGAGUUGUCCAAGCAGGCCUUAAAUUUGGAUCUUCUUGGCUUAGCUUCCCUAGUAACUAGGAUUACAGCUUAUGCCACCAUUCCUGUCUGGGAAAAAAAAGUGUUUUUAAUUGAAAUAUUUACAUUCCAUAAAAUUUGGUGAAAUGGUUUAUCUUAGUUUGAGGGUUUUGGUUGUUUUUUUAUUUUAUUUGUUUUUUAAGCCUAAACUGAGCCUACUGGCACAUAUCAUUAAUCCCAACAACUCUGUAGGCUGAGGCAGGAGAAUUGCAAGUUCAAGGCCAGACUUAGCAACUUAGAGAGACCCUAUCUCAAAAUUUAAAAAAAAAGGGGGGGGGGGGGCUGGGCAUAUAGCUCAGUUGGUAGAAUGCUUGCCUCUCAUGCACAAGGCCCUGGGUUCAAUCCCUAGCACCACAAAAAAAAAAAAAAAGCUUCACCAGAUUUCUCAGAAUUUGAAUCUUUAGAUAUAUAUAUAGUGCAUGCAGCAACUGCAUAUUCUGUACUGUCUUUCUGGUCAUAAGACAUAGCUCACUGGGUUUCUAGCUAUCAUUUCACAUUCCUAUGGUUGGCUGGACUAGAAUGAAAAAGCCAGUCCCUAGGGUUCCAGAAAGACCUCUGGUUUUAGGCUUAUAAUAAUCCAGCUGAAGGUAAUCAAACCCCUUGAACCCUUGAGGAAGGUGGCUAGCUUAAUAGUAAGAACAAAUGAUGAUAUUUAUGUCACAAAUCCAGUUUACUGCAGUGAUUCCUCCAGAAGUUCUGUAUCCCCAGCUUUCACAUUUCCAUUAACAUACAUGUAUUGGAGUUCUGACUUUGCCAAACCACUGCCCAUCUACUCCUUUACUUAAGGAAGCUUUAGGGGGUAUCUCCAUUGUUUUCAAUUAAGGGCUUCCUGGGUACAGUGGUAGGAUGUCUGUUCCCUACUGGUUUUAGCAUGGUUAUACAUGUGCUUAUGUAAAAUUUACAUUGAUCUAUUUUUUCUUCACCUUUUUUUAUUUAUUUUUUAGGGGAGCCGGAGAUUGAAUUCAGGGGUACUCAACCACUAAGCCACAUCUCCAGCCCUAUUCUGUAUUUUAUUUAGAAACAAGGUCUCACUGAGUUGCUUAGUGCCUCAGCCUCCUGAGCCACUAAGAUUACAGGCAUGCACCACCACGUCAGGCUCUUCACCUUUUUUUAAAAGUAUAAUUUGCGGGCUAGGGACAUAGCUCAGUUGGUAUAGAGUGCUUGCCUUGCAUGCACAAGGCCCUGGGUUUAAUCCCCAGCACCACACAAAAAUAAUAAUAAUAAUAAUAAUUACAAUAAAGUGUACAAUUCAGAAUGUUUGUACUCUAGAUCAUUAAGGAUUAUACCCCUCAAGAUCUUCUGAAGGAAAUCUUGUUAAUUCUUUUUUUUUUUUUUUUAAUAAUAUUCCCUUUUAAUGAUUUUUUUUUUUUUAGAGAGAGAGAGAGAGAGAGAAUUUUAAUAUUUAUUUUUUAGUUUUCGUCGGACACAACAUCUUUGUUUGUAUGUGGUGCUGAGGAUCGAACCCGGGCCGCACACAUGCCAGGCAAGCACGCUACCGCUUGAGCCACAUCCCCAGCCCCUUGUUAAUUCUUAAUAGAGGAGAGAGAGAGUGUGGCUCAGUGGUUAAGAAUUUUUGGGCUAGAUAUGUGAGUUGAAGUCUUAGUACUUCCUUUUACUAACUUUAUGUACUUGAGCAAAUGAUCUAACUUCUUUUAGUUUCAAUUCAUCAUCAAAAAUUAGGGAUAAAUGCAGUUAACACAUUGAAAUGUGGUAAGGAUAAAGGGAAAUAAUAUAAAGAACGUUCUUAGCAAAAUAUGUCUCACAUACAAGUGUUCCAAUAUUAAUUAUUAUAUUUUUUCCAAGCUCUUUACAAUAUUGGAGACAUGGUACAUGCUGCCCGGGGCAAGUGGGGAAUUAAAGCAAACUGCCCUUGUAUCAGUCGGCAAAACAAAUCUGUGUUGAGACCUGCUGUCACCAAUGGGAUGUCACAGGUAAAGUGGUAUGUGUGGUAUAACUAAGUGAAAUUUCAGUUCUUAUUGCCAGUAAAUGCCCCAUUUUCAACAGUGUUUUUCCAGGCCUUUACAAGGUUUCUGAGGAAUUAGGGAAUGGGGAAACCUUUCUAGAGAGCCCAAAAAAUUUACUGAAGGGAUUUUUAAGGUGUGGUUUCUUUUCAUUCAUCUUUAAACCAGUUCUUGGUUGAUAAAUUGCAUGGAGAGUCUCUGUAUCUUGUCAAGGUCUUUUUGUGGGUGAAAACUACAGAAAAGGUUUUUAGGAAUACUUGUGGUUUUUUCAGUCCUGUCUGAGAAGGUACAUCGUCCUAUUAAUGGGUUCAUCUUAGGUACAGAGGACAGAAAUUUGAAGAGUUGGAUUGGUUCUACCCUCAAAGCAAUCGUAAUCCUCCAGAGAGGUAGUGAUUUUUCUCACUGCCCUCUCAGAGACGGGCCAUUCUGGUUUGAUGGUGACUAUGUUGAACAAGCAGUUGUUUUUUAAAAAAGAACCUGCAGCUUACUGUUUACAAUUUGAAGUCUUUCUCGGAAUACCAUGUUUGUUUGAUAAGAGGCACAGGGAUGGAUGCUAAGAGAUCUAGAGAUAUAUUUUUAGCCAGGUUCAUAUAUCAGAGCAAAUAAUUUGGAAAAUUCAGUAAUGUAAUAGAGUGAUAACAUUUAUUAAGCAUUUAUGUGUGCCAGAACUAUGCUAAGCCCUUUCCAUAUGCUAUCUCAUUUAACCCCCAGAAGAACUUAAUGAGUUUUAAUCACCAAUAUGUCAUUGGGGAAAUUAUUUCAGGCAUGCUAAAUCUUUAUUUUAGAUUAUAAACUUUAAGUCUUAUCCCUGUAUUUUCCAUAGAACCUAGCACAGUUUCUAGUGCAUAGUACAACUCAAUAAAUAUACGUCAAAUUAAAAAAUUGGUGAAAUAACAGUUUAUGGGACAGUUUCAAAUUAUUCUUCCAGACCUAUUUAUUGUCAGCAGCCAUUACUAGUCAUGUUUAAUUUUCUCUACCUAAACCAACCACUUUAACCACACUUUUAACAAGUACUUUUAACUUUCCAUGCUUUAGCUUCCCAGCAUAAACCCUAGUGCCUCUUCUGGAAACGAAACUACCUUCUCAGGUGGAGGAGGAACUGCAACAGUCACAGCACCAGAGACUGACCAUGUUUCCAAACCUGAGGGCACUGACAUCAGAUCUGAAGAGCCCCUGAAGGGAGACAGUUCAGCAUCAAAUAGCAAUAGUGAGCUAAAAGCCAUCAGGCCCCCAUGCCCUGACACGGCUCCUCCCUCCUCUGCCCUGCAUUGGUUGGCAGAUUUAGCAACUCAGAAGGCUAAAGAAGAAACAAAAGGUGAGAUGAACACCUUUUGCCCUUCCUAUGGGAGGAACCUGAAGGUUUUUCUGGGAUUCUUCAGACUCACACAUUAUCAUACACAUUAAUGAAACAUGCGUCUUGCUUUCUCUGGCUAAUCACACAAAUGAGGGAAUCUCUUUUCAAUUUCUUUCUAGAAAUAGACCUUUUCUAAAGACAUAUACCCGGGCCCGCCUUCAGGCCUCCCUAGUGAGAAUUGAUGCAAAGUUUUUUGUUGUUGUUUCCUGGGUUUUUUUUGUUUGUUUGUUUUGGGGUUUUUUUAGUUGUCAAUAGGCCUUUAUUUUAUUUAUUUAUAUGUGGUGCUAAGAAUCGAACCCAGUGCCUCACACAUGCUAGGCAAGUGGUCUACCACUAAGCCACAACUCUAGCCCAAAGCAAAGUUUUAGCAAGCUUCCCAGAAGUUCUGUUUUUCAGCCCAAAACACCAAUAAUCUCCAUUUUAUAUAUAUGUGUGUGUGUGUAUGUAUGUGUAUAUAUGUAUGUAUAUGUAUUUUAAUAAAUAUAAAUAUAUAUAUAUUUUUUAGUUUUUAAUGGACCUUUAUUUUAUUCAUUUAUUUAUAUGUGGUGCUGAGAAUCCAACCCAGUGCCUCACACGUGCUAAGCAAGCACUCUGCUGCUGAGCCACAACCCCAGCCCCAACAAUCGCCAUUUUUUUUUUUUAAGUUGUAGAUGGACACCGUAUCUUUAUUCAUUUGUUUUUAUAUGGUGCUUAGGAUCAAACCCAGUGCCUCACACAUGCGAGACAAGCACUCUACCACCUAGCUAUAACCCCAGUCCAACAAUCUCCAUUUUUAACAGGGACUCCAGAUGAUUCCAAUACCCGUGUUCUGGUGACCCACCUGAGUAGCUUGCUCUCUCUCUCUUUUUUUUUUUGGUGGAGGUGUUUGUGGUUAAGUUUUGAAACCAGAGCCUCAUGCAUGCUGGGCAGUCACUUUACCAUUGAGCUAUAUCCCUGUCCCCUGGAAACCCACUUGAAAAACAGUUUUAGAAAAUGAGGGUUAAGAGAGGUGGAUGGAAACAAAAGUAAUCCAAAUCUGGAAAAGAAAGGAAGAAAUAGGAGAGUUUCUCUUUGGCCCUGAGAUCUCCCAUAUUCAUAGCUUGUCAGGUUUGGUCCCAACAAACCUUACACAGUUGUCAGGUAAAAGAGAGCAUCUUUUGUCCCUUCCGCUUGGCUGAUUUUUAGGAGUCAGUUGUCUGAUGGGUAUUUCUUGCUGUGCCUAAAGCUAUUACUGGUUAUGUUCUUACAGAAGCAGGGUCCCUGAGAUCGGUGCUCAAUAAAGAAUCUCAUUCACCCUUUGGGCUGGACUCUUUCAACUCUACUGCAAAGGUCUCUCCGUUGACUCCAAAGCUUUUUAACAGUCUGUUACUGGGUCCCACUGCCUCCAACAACAAAACUGAAGGCUCCAGCCUUCGAGACCUCCUUCACUCUGGACCCGGAAAACUUCCUCAAACCCCCUUGGAUUCAGGCAUACCCUUCCCCCCAGUCUUCUCAACAUCCUCAUCGGUAAGUGUCCUCUCUACAAUUCUAGGCUUUGCUGCUUUUCUAUGAAAGAACCAUCAAAGAUCUGAUAAUUAGGUUAGAGGUCAUGUGGGUGAUUUGUGUUCUCUAUAUUGUCAAGCUGACAACAUAUCUCUUUUAAGUUUUAGGGUGUUUGAGAUCCGUUUAAGUAGUGAACCUUUUGUACCAUGUUAGGAAGUUAGUAAAAUUAAGACAUUAAAAUAUUUUAGUCAUCAGUGGAAAAGUCAAUACAUUGAUCCAUUUGAUUUUCUUUCAGACUUUUUUUGUGUGUGUGUGGUGCUGGCAACCAAACUCGGGCUCUUAUGCAUGCAGGGCAAGCACUCUAACAGCUGAGCUAUAUUUGCAGCCCCUCAGACAUUAAUUUUUUUUAACUUAGCCAAUACAUUUAUAAUGUUACUAUCUUGGAUAUCUUAUAGAUAUCCUUAAACCUUUAACACAUCUAAAACGAACUCUUGAUCUUCUGCCAAUAUUACUUACACUUCUUUAGUAUCCCUUUCUUGGUUAGUAGCAUCUCUAUCCUUUCAAUUACUUGUCCCCAAAAUCUUGGAAUCAUUUGGUACUUUCCUCUCAUAUAUUUAUUUUUGGUACUGGGGUUUUAACCCAGGGGCGCUUAACCACUGAGCUACAUCCCAAGCCCUUUUUAUUUUAUUUUUUUAUUUUGAGGCAGGGUCUUGUUAAGUUGCUUAAGGACUUGCUAGUUUGUUAGGCUGGCUUUGAAUUUGCUAGUCUUCUGCCUCAGCCUCCUGAAUUUCUGGGAUUACUGGCAAUGUGCACUAUGCCCAGCUUCUCCUUGCUUAUAUUUCAUAUCAAUCUAUCGGUAAAUCCCUUAAUUUGAUCAGAAUAUAUUCAGAAUUUACCUGUUUCUUUCCAGCUCCACCUUUCUUACUAACCUGAGCUGAUAUCCUCUCUUGCCUAAAUUUUUGAAGUAAAUUCCUCAGUAGAAUUCUAUGAGGAAUAGAUUCUGCCCGUUACUGUCUAUUUUCUUUUUUUAAAUAUUUAUUUUUUAGUUGUAGUUGGACACAGUACCUUUAUUUUAUUUAUUUUUACGUGGUGCUGAGUAUUGAACCCAGGGCCUCGCAUGUGCUAAGAGAGCACUCUGCUACUGAGCCACGACCCUAGCCCACAGUCUAUUUUCAACACAGCAGCUCAAGUGGUCUUUUUAAAAUGUAAGUCAAAUCAUGUUCCCUCUACCUAAAAUCCUCCAAGAACUUCCUAUUUCUCUUCAUAAGCUAAACAGAGUCCUCAAAAUGUACUAGAAGUCUUUGACUCUUUCUAGGCCUCUUCUCACUUCUCUGACCUUACCCCUCUUUCCUUCUUGUUCAUUCUGCUUCAGUCAUACCUGUCUGCUUGCUGUUUCUUGAACAUAACCUGGCAUGCUUCCUCUGCUAUAACCCAGUCCCUGCACUUGUUUUCUCCCCCAGAAUUUUCCUCCUAUGUAACCAUUUGGCUGGCUUCAUCAUCAACUUCUUUUCUUCCCUCCUAAAAUGUCACCCUCAGGAAACCUUUCUUUAUACAUCACUCUUUAAAAGUUUAUCACAGUAGAGGUAGGGAUGUAGCUCAGUGGCAGAGGGCUUGGCUAACGUGUGAGGCCCUAGCACCACCAAAAAAAAAAAAAAAAGUUUAUCACAUUAGGCACAAUGGUACAUGCAGCUUGGUAGGCUGAUAGGAAGAUUGCAUGUUCAGGGUCACUCUUAGCAACUUAGCAUAGCCCUAAGCAACUUAGUGAGAUCCUGUCUCAGAAUUAAAAAUUAAAAGGCAAAAGUCCUGGGAAUAUAGCUCAGUGGUAAAUUGCCCCUGGGUUAAAAAUACCCAGCACCAGGCUGGGCGAGGUGGUACAUACCUGUAAUCGCAGCAGCUUGGGAGGCUGAGACAGAAGAAUCAAGAAUUCAAAGCCAGACUCAGCAACUGUGAGGCACUAAGCAACUCAGUGAGACCCUGUCUCUAAAUAAAAUACAAAAAUAGGACUGGGGAUGUGACUUGAUGGUUGAGUACCCCUAAAUUCAAUCCCCAGUACCAAAAAAAAAAAAAGAUACCCAGCACUAAACCGCACUAAACCGCCCCCUGCCUGCCAGAAAAAGUUUAUCACAGUACCAUACUCCACUCAUAACUAUCUUCUCUGCUUGUUUUCAUACCACUAACUACCAUCUUACUAGCUGUUUUAUUUAUUGUCUGUCUUUUGCCUUUCCUAAAAGCACUUUUGAUUGUUUUAUUCACCAAUAUAUUCCUAGUACCACAGAAUUUGAUCCAUAGUCAUGUUUAGUUAACAUUGAAUAAAUGAAUUCACAAGAUAUAAAAAGUUGAAAAAUACAAAAGAGUUAUAGUGAUAAGGCCACCCAUUUCCCUUUCUAGAGGCAACCUUUCUCUUUUGUUUCUUUAGUGUUGGAGAUUACACCCAGGGGCAUUUAACCACUGAGGUACAUCCUCAGCCCUUUAUAUUUAUUUUGAGACAAGGUCUCCAUAAGUUGCCUGGGCUGAUCUUGAACUUGUAAUCCUCCUGCAUGGCUGGAAUUGGAGAUGUGCACCACUGCACCCAACCACCAUUGUUUCUUGAGUGUCAUUUCAGAAAUAUUGUCAUAUAUGCUGUCCCCCCCAUUUACAUAAAUGUUCUACAACUUGCUUUUCUCUCUCUCACUUUAUAUGUCUUGCAGGUCAUUUCAAACAAGUAUAUAAAUAUGUUUCUCAUUCUAUGUUAUGAUUAAUGGCUGAAAUUUGAUGAACUGCAAGUGAUUGAACCUAUACAAUUGGGUUGCUUCUCUUCUGCAAAAGUAACUUAAAAAAAAAAAAGGGCUGGGGUUGUGGCUCAAGCAGUAACACGCUCGCCUGGCAUGUGCAGGGCGCUAGGUUCGAUCCUCAGCACCACAUGAAAAUAAAAUAAAGAUAUUGUGUCCACCGAAAACUGAAAAUAAAUAUUAAAAAAAUUCUCUCACUCUCUCUCUCUAAUUUAAAAAAAAAAAAUAUAUAUAUAUAUCAGUUACUCCUCCUAACCCCUGUUGCCCAUAUUAGGGAUUAGACCCAGUCCUUUUUUUUUUUUUUUGAGUUAUUUUAUUUUUAUGUGGUGCUGAGGAUCCAACCCAGCGCCCCUCGCAUUCCAGGCGAGCGCGCUAUCGCUUGAGCCACAUCACCAGCUCACUGAACUAUCUUUUUAAAAAUUUUUUUUUAAUAUUUAUUUUUUAGUUUUAGGUGGAUACAGUAUCUUUAUUUGAUUUUUAUGUGGUGCUGAGGAUCGAACCAGUGCCUCACACGUGCUAGGCGAGCACUCCACUACUUGAGCCACAACCCCAGCUCCUUUAAAUUUUUUUUCAUUUUAGACAGGUCUCGCUAAGUUGCCCAGGCUAUCCUCUUAUCUUAAGAUCCCCCUGCAUUCGCCUCCUGAAUCACUGGAAUCACAGGCCUGGGCCACCGUGCCUGGCAAAAAUUACUCUAUUUUAUUUGUAUUUGUUCAUAUUCUCAGUUCUUUUAUUUUUUUUAAUUUCUUUUUUUUUUUUUUUAAGAGAGAGAGAGAGAGAAUUUUAACAUUUAUUUUUUAGUUUUCGGCGGAGACACAACAUAUUUGUUUGUAUGUGGUGCUGAGGAUCGAACCCGGGCCGCAUGCAUGCCAGGCGAGCGCACUACCGCUUGAGCAACAUCCCCAGCCCUAAAAUUUUCUUUUAAAUAUUUUUUAGUUGUAGAUGAACACAGUACCUUUAUUUAUUUAUUUGUAUGUGGUGCUGAGGAUCGAACCUAUUGCCUCACAUGUGCAAGGCAAGUGCUCUACUACUGAGCCACAACCGCGGCCCCUUAAUUUCACAUUUUUUUCCAGAAUAUUAUAUGGUUACAUGCCUUAGAGAUUAUGAUUAGUGAUUUUUCAGCAAUAGGAUUAUCAAUAUUACAAAAUCUACACCCCCUUUCAUUCUGUGAUGUACGAAAUGUCACUUUCAUCUGUGGGCUUACGCUUUGCUAUCAGCUGAGAUAGAUGAGAGAUGCAUGAUAAUUCUCUUCAGUUACUUAGGUGAAAUAUCUCCGCUGGCCAGAAAAAAAUUUGGAACUCUCCCCCCCAAAUUAAAUGAUCUUUUUCAAUCAGUUAUAUCAUUUUGUGAACUCUGCAAUCUACAUACCAUAGGUAUUUCUUAGGUCUCAAGUCUCUUGAAGCAAAGGGUUCUUUCUAUACUUUUCUUUCAUAAAUGCAAGAUAAAUAUCAAAGAUAAAGGAAUUUAAGGUACUAAAAAUAUCAACUUUUUGUUCCUCCUCCAAUUGUACAAGAUAUUCUGAUAACUUUUGUGGAAUUUAAUCAGAUAGGUAAGAACUUAGAAAUGGCAACUGUGAUAUGGUUUUUUUUGAAUGCUUUUCUUAUGGCAUCUCAGUCAAGCUUACCUAUGUCUGGCAGGGAGUAAAAAGUAAGGCCAGUCUACCCAACUUUCUUGACCACAUCAUUGCCUCAGUGGUAGAAAAUAAGAAAACCUCAGAUGCUUCAAAGCGGGCCUGCAACUUGACUGAUACCCAAAAGGAAGUGAAGGAGAUGGUGAUGGGGUUAAAUGUGCUAGACCCCCAUACUUCACACUCCUGGCUCUGUGAUGGAAGGCUUCUGUGUCUCCAUGAUCCCAGCAACAAAAACAAUUGGAAGAUUUUUCGAGAGUGUUGGAAGCAAGGCCAGGUAAGUAAGAAUAAAGCUUCUGCCUGCCUGGCAUAGCUAUCAGGAUAAUUCUAGGCUUCUGUGGGAGAUCUUUUGCCAGAGAGAUUUAGACAUAAUAAGUGUAUUGUUGAUUUUCCUUGGUCCUUUUAAGUAUCUUAGAUUUUUAAAAUGAAGGAAUUUCUAAAGGAAAAAGUACAAUCAAGUAUCAUUUUAUUUCUAAGCUGUACAACUCUGUGUUCUUAAAAGGGCAGCUGAAAUUACUGUAAGAUAUUAAACUGGAACUGACAAUACCUCAGGAGGAGAAUCCUUAAAUGUGUUAUUAGGGUGAAGGAAUGGGUAGAAAAGGGUAGUACUUUUCUAGGUCUGUGUUUGAAGGUGUCCCAUAAACUUAUGCAAUAACAAUUGUGAUUUUUAUACUUUAGCAGCUGCUUAAGGAAGGAAGAGAUUAUGGAUUUAUCUAGGUAGUUUUUCACUUAACAUUUGAGGAAGUGUUGAAUUUGUUUGCUUACCUCAAAAUAGUGGUAGAUACCAGAGCAACAGAAGUAUUUCUGCGGCAUGCCUCCCAGAGUAAGAAUCCAAUAUAAUAAUGAAGUAGAAGCGGUUUCCAUUCACUUUAGCUGAUGUGUUAAAAUCCAUAAAUCUGGGCUGGGAUUGUGGCUCAGCGGUAGAGCGCUCACCUAGCAGGUGCGAGGCCCUGGGUUCAAUCCUCAGCACCACAUAAAAAUAAAUAAAUAAAGCUACUGUGUCCAACUACAAUUAAAAAAUAAAUAUUUUUUAAAAAUCCAUAAAUCUUAAAAUUGUAAAAGAACAAUAAUUUUGUAGAGAAGAGCUCUCCCUAGGAAACCCUCCUGUUCAGUCCUUUAGCCAUGGAAUUAACAGUAUUUCCUAAAUGGCCCUGAUUAUAUUUUUGUUUCCACAGCCAGUGCUGGUUUCAGGAGUACAUAAAAAGCUCAAGUCUGAACUCUGGAAGCCAGAAGCCUUUAGCCAGGAAUUUGGAGACCAGGAUGUGGAUUUGGUGAACUGCAGGAAUUGUGCUAUAAUUUCUGAUGUGAAAGUUCGGGAUUUCUGGGAUGGCUUUGAGAUAAUAUGCAGUAAGUAGCAUUGAUAUCUAGUUGACUAAUGGCAGAGUGGGAAGCAUCUAUAUGCCAGCUCUGUCCCUGCAAUAACAGAUCAUAUCCUCUUGGUGGAAGGAACCUUCUGUCUGGUGCUAAACAUUUAGCUUGCAUGGCAAUCCUAUGGCUUCCCAAAAUAGUCCAGGCUUUAGCCUGUAAGACCAUAGGGAAUGUGGAAUAUUUUUACUCAGAGGAAACCAGAUAUAAUCUUAUAAAAUGGAGAAACAUGGCAAGUGGGUAGGAAAACAAAGCCCACCUAAUCUAGUCCAUUAUGUGGACUAGGUUUAUAAAUCUGAAAUAAGAACUUUUAUCUCAUACAUAAUCACUGGAAAAAUUUGGGGAGUAACCAACCCCACAGAUGUUUGUGAGAAUACUGUCUCUCUUCCAGAACGACUAAGAUCAGAAGAUGGGCAGCCAAUGGUGCUCAAACUCAAGGACUGGCCUCCUGGGGAAGAUUUUCGGGACAUGAUGCCAACAAGGUUAGUUGUUGUCUGGGCCAUCUUCUGAGAUUCGUGCCUUGCCAAAGCCAUCACAGAAUAAUUACAUAAUCCCAGACAAGUGAAUUUUGCCUCUUUGCUUUCUUGCCCUAUAAUAGCUAAGUUUUCUAUCCUACUGUUUUGUAGGUUUGAAGAUCUGAUGGAGAACCUUCCUCUGCCGGAAUAUACCAAACGAGAUGGCAGGCUCAAUCUGGCCUCUAGGCUACCCAGCUACUUUGUAAGGCCUGAUCUAGGACCCAAGAUGUACAACGCCUAUGGUAUGAGGGAGAGGCCAGAAUUGCCCCUUUGGGGGAUUGCUCAUUUUACUUACAGAAGAUCUUUGGUCAGGGUCAUGAGUAAAGAUGAUUGAGGGCAAGUGACAGGUACUACAGAAGUUAAGGUAUCCAGGAUGGUUUUGAAUAUGUUUGCUUUGUCAUACUGAUUUGUGUAAAAUGUACGUGGGCCUAGUCUAUAAGCUAUAUGUUCCCAGGAAUUAGAUCAUUUCCUCUCAAAAAUUGUACUCAGGGAGACAUAUUCUUAGUUUUGAUAAGGCUCUGAGGUUGUGGCUCAGUGGUAGAGCGCUCACCUAGCAUGUGCGAGGCCCUGGGUUCGAUCCUCAGCAUCACAUAAAAAUAAAUAAAAACAAAGGUACAACUAAAAGAAAUAAAUAUUUAAAAAAAAAAAAAAAACUUGAUAAAAUAGCAAAAAAGGCUCAAUACCAAGGGCUGGAGAUGUGACUCAUUGUUAGUGUGUGUGCCUAGCAUGAGCCAACAAGGUAGUGAGCAUGAGCUCACUAACAUGAGCAAGGCCCUGGGUUCAAUCCCAACCCUGCAAAAUGAAAAAAACAGAUACCAUGCCACCUGUCUAUUACUUUGUAAAGUAUAGAAAUAACCUAAAUCACUGUGUAAGUUGAGCUAAUGCCCAUAGUGAAUGUCCCUAAUGCCCAUAUCUGUUUUGCUUUUAAAGGAGGGACCAUUUUCAGGGAGUGGAUUAAUUCUAUGGCUAAAGCUAAUGAUAGUGUCACCCAUGCUAGAAAUUAAUGUUAGACAGUAUAAGAGAGAUGAAAAGAAUGAUUUUUUUGUUUAUUUGUUUGUUUGCUUGCUUGCUUGCUUAUGGUGCUGGGUAUCAAAUCCAGGGAAUCAUGCUUGCUAGAAAAGUACUCUACCACUGAACUACACCCCUAGCCCCUGGGAUUUCUUGAUAAAUGGAACAGACAUACUUCACUCUCCAGUGGUACUCAUUUGAGAAUGUCCUUGAGUAUAUUUUCAGUUUUAGGCUCUCUGUGGAUUCUUCAGAAUAUUUCCCCUUCACCUUGCAUAUUUUCCUUAACCCUUUAGGCUUGAUAACUGCAGAAGACAGAAGAGUUGGCACAACAAAUCUUCACUUAGAUGUGUCUGAUGCCGUUAAUGUGAUGGUGUAUGUUGGGAUCCCCGUCGGGGAGGGUGCUCAUGAUGAAGGUAUGUUUUCUAGAAAAACUGCUUUAGGUGAUGAGACUUGGCUUCCAGGAAGAACUGAGUGUUUACCUCCUUAGUCAGGAACAGUGGCUUUUUUUUUUUUCUUUCUUUCUUUCUCUUUAUUUCCCCAGUGACUUUUUCUUAAGUUUCUACCAGGCCUGAUAUGUAGUAGGUGCCUAGUGAAUGUUGCUAGAGAAAAAGAAGUUCUAGCAGAGAAGAAUGCUACUUGUGUAUCUUUGACCAAGGGGUAGCCUCACAUGAGGAAUGAAGAAAGGACAAACCCAUCUACUUGGCCCAUCCGCCAGAUCAGCUCUGGAGUGACAGAUGUAAAGCGGGGGUCACCUGAAGCAAAAGGACCUGGAGAUAUAGCUUAGUUGGUAGAGUGCUUGCCUUGCAUGCACAAAAUCCUGGAUUCAAUCCCCAGCAUCACAAAAAAAGAAAAAAAAAAAAGCGAAGCAUAAAAGUGAUAUUUUGCUGUAAUUGCCCUCUUUUGCAAUAUUUUAUGCUGCCUAAAUGUUUAUCUCAAGACACUAAAAAGGGUGUGAUCCCCAUUGUAUUUAAGGGCCAGCUGGGUAGGACAUCUUGGAGAUCAGCUCAAAUCUCAGUGUUAAAAUUAAUGUGUGUGCCUGGGCAUGGUGACUCAUGCCUGUAAUCCCAGUGGCUCUAGAGGCUGAGUCAGGAGAAUUCCAAGUUCAAGACCAGCCUCAGAAACUUAGUGAGUCCCUGUCUCAAAUAAAAAAUAAAGGGAGUGGUGGUGAUGUGACUCAAUGGUUAAACACCAUUGGGUUCAAUCCUUGGCCAAAAAAUAAAAUAAAAUAAAUGAGUUCCUUGUGGAAGUUUCAGAAAAAUGAGAACAGUUUUGAAAAAUAACUUGAAAUGUCAAGGUUUAGGAAUAAUCAGUAUUAUUACUUUGGCAUUUCUUAUUCUGUUGUUAGAUUUGAUGCUACACACCUGUAGGCCUUUCCAUUAUGUUGUGGUUUCUUGUGGAUUAUAAUAGACAGGUAUUAGAAGCUAACCUUCUUAAUUUGCCAGAGAAGCUUUAUGCUUUGUGGACUUAAAUCAGCAAAAUCCUAGAGUUUCAAGUGGUCUUGCAAAAAUGUAUAGAAUCCCCCUACUUUCAGUAGGAAAUAACCCACAAGUUAAACAUAAGAAAUAGCUAUUCAUUUUGAGCAAGAAACAUUUUUUAAAGAAACUACCACAGGGGCUGGGGAGAUAGCUGAGUGGUAGAGCACUUAGCAUAUGCAAGUCCCUAGGUUCAAUCCCCAGCACCAGAAAAAAUAAAAAUAAACAAAAAAUGUCUACAAUUUUUUUCUUUUUUCUUUUUGGUGCUGGGGAUUGAACCCAGGCCUUGUGCAUGCGAGGCAGGCACUCUACCAACUGAGCUACAUCCCCAGCCCUACAAAUAUUUUUUUUAAAAAGAAACUACCACAGGCUGGGUAUGUCACUCAGCUGGAAAACAUUUGCCUAGUGUACAUGAGGCUCUGAGUAUGAUUCCCUAGGACUGCAGAAGAAGAAACUAGAUUACCAAAAAUAUUGAGUCUCUGUUAAGUAAAGAAAGUUUAGAGUUAUUCUUCCCUGUGGGUAGGGAGCUUAGACCAAUACAAAUUUUGCUAUUUCUUUUUGGUGGAGGAAGGGGAUACUGGGGAUUAAGCCCAGGGGUGCUUUACCACUGGGCUACAUUCCAAGUCCAAUCUCUCUUUCUAUUUUUGGUGCUGGGGAUUGAACCCAGGGGCACUUUACCACUGAACUACAUUCCCAGUCCUGUUUGUUUUGGUACCAGGGAUUCGACCUAGGGGUGCUUAAACACUGAACCACAUCCCUACCCCUUCUUUGUAUUUUCUUUAGAGACAGGGUCUCACUUUAGAGUUGCUUAGGGCCUCGCUAAAUUGCUGAGGCUGGCUUUGAACUUUCAAACCUCCUGCCUCAGCCUCCUGAGCUGUUGGGAUCAUAGGCAUUGUACAGACAUGUGCCACUGUGUCCGAUUUAAUUUUUUAUUUUUGAGAUAGUGUUUUGCUAAAUUGCUGAGACUGGCCUUACACUUGAGAUCCUCCUGAGUCAACCUUCAGAGUUACUGGAAUUAUAGGCAUGUGUCACUGUGCCCAGCUCAUGAGUUUUGAUUUUUUGCUAUGUAACUCCAGAGAGAUAGAGAAAAGACCAAACUUGUUUGAUUUGGACAUUGUAUUUCACUCAGAAAUACUGAAAUAACUAGUUACAUUGAAAUUGUCAUUUUGCUCAUUUCAGAGGUACUCAAGACAAUUGAUGAGGGGGAUGCUGAUGAGGUGACGAAGCAAAGGAUCCAUGAUGGAAAAGAGAAGCCAGGCGCAUUAUGGCACAUCUAUGCAGCCAAGGAUGCAGAGAAGAUCCGGGAGCUGCUUCGAAAGGUAUGCCUCUUGGUGAAAUGUGCUCCCAACUCUCAAAUUAAGAGUCUAGAGGGGCUGCAGAUAUAAUUCAGUUGGUAGAGUGCUUGCCUUGCAUGCAAAGGCCCUGGGGUUUGAUCCCCAGCACCAAAAAAACAAAUAAACUAAAAAAAGUGUAGAGACUGAGACAACCUGUCCAAGAUUUUUCAUGUGGAGUCCCUAGGUAUUAAAGACCUAGUGGCCAUGUACGUCUUAUCAGAAUACCCAGAAAAUCUGAGUCAGACUUCGAGCAUAUUGAAUAGAGUAAACCAGAAACUUUGGGCUUUGCCAGAAACACUAAUGUAGCAAGUUGGAUUUAUCCUGUUACUGAUUUUUAUGUAUGACAGCACAAUGAUGCACAUCUGUAAUCCCAGCUACUUGGGAGGCUGAGACAGGAGGAUGGCAAGUUCAAGGCCAGGCUGGGCAAUUUAGCCAGACCCUGUCUCAAAAAAAAAAAGGGAAGGAAGAAAGAAUGAAUGAAUGAAUGAGGGUGGUGAUAAAGCACAGCACUAGAGUAUUGUUUAGUGUGCACAAGGCCCUGAGUUCAAUUCCUGGUGUCAACAACAACAAAAAAUGUAUUUACAGUAGUUUCCCCUUAUCCAAAGGGAAAACAUUCAAAGACCCUCACUUGAAACCACAAAUAGUACCAGACCCUUUAUAUAUUUUCGUUUUUGCCUAUACAUACAUACGUAUGAUAAAGUUUAAUUUACAAACAAGGCACAGUAAGAGAUUAACAAUAACUCAUCAUAAAAUAAAACAGUAUAACAACAUACUAUAUUUAAUUUUUUAAUUUUGAGAUAGGCUGUCUCUAAGUUACUGAGGCUGGCCGGUAACUUGGGAUCCUCCAGCCUUGGCUUCCCAGGUAGCUGGGAUUAUAGGCAUGUAACACCACACCUGGCAUCUAAUUGUGCUUUACCUUUUCACUUUAUGGCUUCUCUGCCAUAUCAGAAUUGCAGCAUCACUGCUUUUGAACUUUGGGUGAUUAUUAGGUAAAAUAAAUAAAAUAAGGGUAUGUGAACACAAGCAUGGUGAUACUGUGAUAGAUAGUUCCUUUGAUAAUGGACAGUAGAAUAGACAGCCAACAUUCAUACUCUGGACAAAGUGAUGAUUCAUGUUCAAGGUGGCAUGGAGCUGUGGAUUUCAUCACACAGUACUCAUAACAGCACACCAUUUAAAACUUAUGAAUUAUUUCUGGAUUGAUUUAUUGAUUGAUUGAUUGGUACUAGGACUUAGAUUCAGGGGCACUUGACUACCAGCCCUGUUUUAUUUUGUUUAGAGACAGGUUCUCACCGACUUGCUUAGGACCUUACUUUUGCUGAGACUAGCUUUGAACUUGAGAUCCUCCUGCCUCAGCUUCCAGAGCCACUGGGAUUACAGGUGUACACCACUGUACCCAGCUAUUUCUGGAAUUUUUCAUUUAAUAUUUUUAGACCAUGACUGAUUAUGGAUAGCUAGAAUCACAGAAAAUAAAACUAUGACUAAGUGACUAAUUUUUAAAGAGAGAGAGAGAGAAGAGACAGAGAAUUUUUUUAAAUAUUUUUCAGUUUUUGGUAGCCACAAUAUCUUUAUUUUAUUUUUAUGUGGUGCUGAACCCAGCGCCCCACGCAUGCCAGGCGAGCGCGUUACCACUUGAGCCACAUCCCCAGCCCCAAUAAGUGACUAUUAAUCUUUCUAUUUUUGCAUUUUGAUCAUGGCUUCAGGUUGGAGAAGAACAAGGCCAAGAGAAUCCCCCCGAUCAUGACCCAAUUCAUGACCAAAGUUGGUACCUGGACCAGACUCUCCGUAAGCGUCUCUAUGAGGAAUAUGGUGUGCAAGGCUGGGCCAUUGUGCAGUUCCUGGGUGAUGCUGUCUUCAUACCUGCAGGAGCCCCACACCAGGUAUUUUCUAAAUUGGGGUUGGGCUCUACAGCUCCAUGGGCUUCUUUAUGUCUGCUUCUCUUUCUAAUCUGACAAGAGAGAUAAAUGGCAGAAUUCGACUGAUUGCUUCACCAUACCACAACUUACUAUUUUGCUUUUUAAUUUUCUUCCUUAUAAUUUUAUUUAUUUUCAUAGGUAUGUGAACAUAAGCACGGUGAUACUGUGAUAGUUCCUCUGAUAACAGAGAGCUAGUGGGUAAUUAAUGGGCAGUAGUAUAGACAGCCAACAUUCUUUCUUUCAAAAGGACUGAAUUUUGGAAGUAAGAUUAGAAAAUAUAUGGUCCUCUUGUGUCCAAAGAUAUGUAUGCAAUUGGCUUGAUUAGUAUUUUUAUGCCUGUUGAUGUUAGUUAAUUUGCAUCCUUAGGUAUUAAUUUUUGAUAGCAUAUGCCCACAAAAAGAUUUGUAUGCCUGUAUUCACAGAAGUUUUAUUCUUGUCAAAAUUGGAAAUUACCCUAAUAUUCAUCAGUAGGUAAAUGUACAAUCCAGUUGUAGUUUAUCAAUAUGGUAAAAUGCCACCCAGGAGUGUACAGAAACAGAUUACAACAGAUCUGUUCCAUUAUAUUGGUCACAGAAUAAUCUUAUUAUGAGAGUACUACACACACAAAGGUAUGAAGGCUGUGACUACCAGAAGGUUGGGAUUAUUUUAGAGGUUGACUGCUACAGGUAUUUUUAAGAGGCAAAUACCUAAUGGGUAGUAGGGAAUGCAAUAUAGGGUGUCUGGAGUAGGGCAGAUAAGUGAGGCUUGGAAGAAAGGUCACUGUUAGAUUAUGAUGAGAAAUUUGACUAUGUGGCAGAAAUAAAACCAGCAUUAUUGCCAGGCACAGUGGUGCAUGCCUGGUAAUCCCAGCUACUCAGGAGGUUAAGGCAAAAGGAUUGAAAGUUUUAAGCCAGCCUGAGAAACUUAGCUAGAUCCUGUCUCAAAAAUAAAUAACUCAAAAAAUGUAGCUUAGUGGUUCAGCACUUGCCUCACAUUUGUGAGGCCCUGGAUUCUAUUCCUCAGUAUUGCGGGGAGAGGUUAAGACUUGCAUUGUCCAAAAUUAAUUGUAAAGGAACUCAUCUGCAACAAUGAGAUUGCAGAUAAUGUGGGAUUAAUCUCUUUCAAAAGGACUGAAUUUUGGAAGUAAGAUUAGAAAAUAUGUUGUAGUCCUCUUAUGUCCAAAGAUAUGUAUGCAAUUGGCUUGAUUAGUAUUUUUAUGCCUGUUGAUGAUAGUUAAUUUGCAAAUUGUAUUGUCAACACACUUUUUAAUCUGCUCUGAGCAGCUCAUAAAUAAGAUUCCUUGUAAUUUUAAGUCUUAUUUCAAAUUUUUCUGACUUUUUCUCCCCCCCGACCCCUCCACAGUGCUGGGGAUUAAACCCAGGGCCUCACACAUACUAUGCAGGCUCUCCACUACUGAACUGAGUCUCUAGCCCCUUUGUUUUAAAAUUUUUGUUUUUGGAAGUAGGGGUCAAACCAAGAGGUUCUUUACCCAUAAGGUAUAUCUCCAGACCUUUUAUUUUUUAUUUUGAGACAGGCUCUUGUUAAGUUGCCCACACUGGUCUUGAGUAGCUGACCAUGUACCACCAUCGUACCCAGCAAACAUUUUUAUUUAUAAUUUAUAUGUUUGCACUUACAAUGUCUCUGUAUUUUUAUUAUCAAAAUGAAGAACUAGAUGUGGUGGUCCCAACUGCUCAGGAGGCUGGGGUCAGAGGGUCACUUGAGCCCAGGAGUUCAAGGCAAGCCUGGGCAUCAUAAGAGUCUCCAAAAAAGAAAAAAAAAAAAAGGCAGGGAAUGGAUAUAUUAUGUGGAUGUUUUGUUUGUUUUUUAUUAUCAUAGACAUUUUCCAUGAGUUAUUGAUCUCUAAUGUCUGACGUUUUACCUCUGUACUCCCUCACCCCUACCACUGCCCCCAGGUUCACAAUCUAUACAGUUGCAUAAAAGUAGCAGAAGACUUUGUAUCUCCAGAACACGUGAAGCACUGUUUCCGCCUGACUCAGGAAUUCAGGCAUCUCUCCAACACUCAUACAAAUCAUGAGGAUAAACUGCAGGUAAAUAACUUCUCCUUCACCUCACACUGUCAUUUCUUCACAUGCUCACAUACUACACAGAAGGCACAUUCUCCUCUCUGAGGGUAUUCUCUAGUUGUCUGAUAGGAGGAAGAAUGACACAGGGAAUUCCACCUCGACCUAUGGAGUCUUCCUUUCAGAAACACCUUAUCAGUCCUCAGUUCUCUUCAGUUGUGCUCUUAACCUAAUCAUCUUUUAACCUAAUCAUUUCCAGCUGGGCAUGGUGCCACAUGUCUAUAAUCCCAGUGGCUCGGGAGACUGAGGCAGGAGGAUCGAAAGGCCACCCUCAGCAACUUAAUGAGAUCCUAUCUCAAUAUAAAAAGGGCUGGGGAUGAGACUUAGUGGUAAAGUGCCCCUGAGUUCAAUCCCACUACCUCCCCCAUGCCCCCCCCCAAAAAAAAAACCUCAUUUCCAGCAUGACAGCCCCUGUUUCUCUACCCUUGGAAUGUAUAAUGUUUCUUUGUUUUGGGGGUUUUUUUUAAUUUUUUGGAGUCAUAGAUGGACAUAAUACCUUUAUUUUAUUCAUUUAUUUGUAUGUGAUGCUGAGGAUCAAACCCAGUGCUUUACACAUGGUAGGCAAGCACUCUACCACUAAACCACAACCCAGCCCAGGUAUAGUGUUUUGAACUUUAGUAACUGACUUAGACACACCUCCCUGGUCAGCACUAAGGCAGUGUAAGAAGAGAUACAGACCUAAAACUGUUUCUUAUAGCAAAGUUCUGUGCAGAUUCAAAUUUUUAUAGCUGUCCUAGGGAUUGCAGUUCCUAUCCCUGAGAAUUGCAUUUGUAGGGGUGAAAAUUGUUUUCCCCUUAUAUAAUUGAACUGGAUGUUCAGAUUAGGAUUUUUGUGGUCUUGAAAUGGAUUGGAAUUUUAAGGACAAUUUCAUUAUUAAUUCACUUCAGUAACAAAAAGAAUAAAGAAACAGGAUUCUCCAUGCAGAAGAUUUAAUAGUUUGAAUAUACACUCUCCCCAUCUUUCACUUCUGGCCUCUUCUUCUGUUAUGCCUAUUUCAUUUCUGUCUUCUUUAGUUGAUGACAAAUCAGGUUGGAAGAAAUUUUGUUGUUGUUGUGUUGUUGUUGUUUAAUUGCUGGUAGGUUUAAUCACCUUCAACUCUGAGCUUGACCUGCUUUUCAUUUUUCAAUAUUUGAAACUCAUCAGCUGGGUGAUGGACAUACCUGUAAUCUAGCCAUUCAGGAGGCUGAGAUAGGAAGAUUGCAAAUUGGAGGCCAGCCUGGGCAACUUAACAACACCCUGUCUAAAAAUAAAACAUUAAAAAGGUCUGGGGGUGUAGCUUAGUGGCAGUGUGCUCCUGGGUUCCAUCCCCAGUACCAGGGGAAAAAAUUCAAGGAACAUUUCAACCAUUAAAUUCUUACACAAAGUAUAAUCACAUUAGUAUUAUAGAUAUAAUACAAAUAUUCAAACAUACAUAUUUCAGAUAUCACCUCAGUCUCUACUUGUAAUAUAUCACCUUAUCUGUAAGGCCUUUCUUGACCCUGUUGGGCACUAUUGUGCCCGCCUGUUUGCUUUAUUUUUUAUAUUUUUUUAUAUUGAUUUCUGCUUCACCACUCCAAUCCCCUUCUAUUGUCUCAGUUUCUUCUGUAGUAGUUUUCAUCAUCUGAUAUGGUAUAUACUUUAUCUGUUUGUCACUAUUCCUUCUCAAAUGUAAGUUAUUUAAGCUCUGUGAAGGCAGGAAUUUUAUUGUUUUGUUUGUUUUUGCAGUACUAGGCAUUGAACCUAGAGCCUCGCACAUGCUAAGUAAUAAGUGCUCUACCAUUGAACUACAUUUCCAGCUCUUAUUUUUAUUUUGAGAUAGGGAUCUGGCUAAAUUGCCCAGGCUAGACACAAAUUUGUUAUCCUCCAGUCUCAGCCUCCCAAGUAGCUGAGAUUACAGGUGUACACCACCACACCUGGCUUUGCUAUUUUAUUCACUGCUGUCCUUAGCAUGAUGGCUGGCACAUAGUAGGUACUCAGUAAAUAUUUAUUGAAGUAAUAAAAAAAAAAAUAGAGACUAGCACAAGGGAGAUUUGUGUGCCCACUACAAAGUGCCCCUUAUGUUUUAUGAAAUGAUAUUAUAUAUGUAUACAACCUACAACAGUUACAUUGUUGAAUGUAUUCUUCCCCUUUCCAUUUCUCCAUUUUCCCUCCAUAGAGAUAACCACAGUCUUGGGGCUAGGGAUAUAGCUCACUUGGUAGAGUGUUUGCCUCACAUGCACAUGCACAAGGCCCUGGGUUUGAUCUCCAACACCACCAAAAAAAAAGGAGAUAACCACAAUCAUCAUGUCAUUCCUUUUUUAAAAACUGUCUUUAAGCUGGGUGCGGUGGUGCAGGUGCACACCUGUAAUCCCAGCAACUCGAGGGGUUGAGCCUGGAUGGAGGAUCACGAGUUCAAAACCAGCCUCAGUAAUGGGGAGGCACUUAGCAACUCAGAGUCUCUAAAUAAAAUACAAAAUAGGUCAAGUGCCCCUGAAUUCAAUCCCUGGUAUCCUCCCCCCCCCCAAAAAAAAAACAAACCUGUCUUUAGCCUGUUUGCUUGCUUGCUUGCUUGCUUUUUUUAUCUUUGGUACUGGGGAUUGAACCCACGGGUGUUUAAUCACUGAACAACAACAAACAACAACACAGCCCUUUUUUAUAUUUUAUUUAGAGACAUGGUCUCUCUCGCUGAGUUGCUUAGGGCCUCACUAAGUUGUUGAGGCUGGCUUUGAAUUUGAAAUCCUCCUGCCUCAGCCUCUGGGAUUUCAGGCAUGUACUAUUGUGCCUGCCUGUUUGCUUUAUUUUAAUAACUUUUUAAUUGUGUCUUCCAACUUCACAUGUAACACUUGUUCCUUUUAGGCAAAUUAAAACAUACAUAUAGGAUUGGGAUUUUGACUCAGCGGUAGAAUGCUCGCCCUAGCACAUGGGAGGUGCUGAGUUUGAUCCUCAGCACCACAUAAAAAUAAAUAAAUAAAAUAAAGGUGUUGUGUCCAGUUACAACUAAGAAAAAUAGAUAUAAAGGAGCCAGGCUUGGUGGCGCAUGCCUGUAUCCCCAUGGCUCGGGAGUCUGAGAUAGGAGGGUCAUGAGUUCAAAGCCAGCCUCAGCAAUGGCAAGGCGCUAAGCAACUCAGUGAGACCCUGUCUCUAAGUAAAAUACAAAAAAGGGCUGGGGAUGUUGCUCAGUGGUUAAGCACCCUAGGUUCAAUCCCCAGUACAAAAAAAAAAAAUUCAACAUACCAAUAGUACAAAACUACACAGCAUUAUAAGUUAUUUCCCCCCUUCCCCUUCCACUGUUCAUUGCAUCCUUAUUAGCUUUAGGACUUCGGCAAGAUUCUUUACCUUGGAACCUGUAUUUCCUCAGUUUCUCACCUAUAAAAUGGAGAUGAUAAUAGAUAUUAAUCUACCUCAUAGGAUUAUGGCAAGGAUUAAAUGAAAAUCCAUAUAAAUAACUUAGUAAUAGUACCCAGCACAUAGAUAAUGGUGAUUGUAUAGCCUUUCAAGUGAUUGUAUCAUUCUUUCUUAAAUACAGACCUGUAGCUGGGUUUGGUGGCACACACCUAUAAUCCUGGUGAUUUUGGGGAGGCUGAGUUAGGAUUACCAGUUGGAGGCUAGCCUCGAAAGACUCUGUCUCAAAAUAGAACGGGCAGAGGAUAUAACUCAGUGGUAGCUACAGGGUGUUCAGUCCCUGGUACGGCAAGGAAAAUAAAUACAUGGAGAACUUACAUUGUGCACAAUUUAUAAAUCCUGGUGGGGAGUGAUUUAGGAAGCAUGCAGUCAUUUCUUCACCAGUUGGCUUAGAAUCAGAGUAGAACUUUACAUUUGUGUUUGUGGAACACAAAAUGGAGCUGCAUUCAACUGACAGUGCUAAUUACUCUCCAGGUGAAGAACAUCAUUUACCAUGCAGUGAAAGAUGCUGUUGGUACCCUCAAGGCUCAUGAAUCCAAACUGGCAAGGUCUUAGGCACGGAGAAAUUCCAAGCUCCCUUGUGAAGCAGGUCUUUUCACUCAACACUUACAGGGAACCACAGGGUUCUCUGCUGGAGCAGAGGCCCUUCACCUGGAGCCAGUGUGGUCAGUAUUACAAACUCUCCAGCCACUCUUUCUACGCUGCCUCAACACUGAAGGUUGACACAGGAAAGUCGCACUGUUCACACACACAGUUUCUGACUCCAAGCCAAGGGUGCCACAUCCCCAGCCAGUGGCCUUUUGGGAACCCGGAUUGCCUGAACAUCGAUAGGCUUUCCUGCAUUAUUCUCUGACUUGAGAUCAUGGAAUCCAGGAAUGUGGGCACACUUUUCUUUUCCUCUUGUGCCUCGUUAAGUGGGGAUGUGUUUGGAGGUAGAGGGAAUCAUGUAACUGGUACAAGUAGGGGUGAUUGCUUAAAUAUGCCUGGUGGAAGCCUGACUGUCUCUGCACAUGACCUCUGACAUGGCCUGCCCCAGGAGAUGGGGUACAGCUAUUCCCCACACUCUCCCAUGAACACUGGAGUCUUACAGGACCCAGGGAGAACCCACUGCUUUUCCCAGGAGGCUCCAGGAUUAGGAAAUGUGUGUAUUUAGUGAAAAAUAGGUUUGUAGUGAAAUAGUUACUAUUUCAUGAAAGUAGAUAUUUUUAGAAUUUUUGAAAUACCACAGUUGUUUUCCUGGAUUAUGAGGAAAGGCACAUUACAUUUAGUCUUCCUUUCGAUAAAACUCUUUGAAGAAAUAUGAUUUUUAGAAAUCAGUUGCCCAUUAUAGCACAAAAUUAGCCAAAGCAGAAUUUAAAAGAAUUGGCUUUUUAGAAUUCUUUUAGUUUCUCCCUCUCCCCUCUCAGUCUUAUCUUGAGGGAACAGUCAUCUGAGAAAGAACUUUGUCAUGUCUGAGCUGUGGUGUGUCCCCACAUAUACAUACACACUGGUGACUCCAGGAACCAUUUUCACCUAUUACCAGCGUUCCCUUGGGACUCCUCAUUUCCAAAUGCUAAGGAAAGUUUGAUUUCCAACAUGAAGGUUUUUGUUUUUUGGGUUUUUGUCCUGAAAUAUUUUCAGCAAAACUUUCCAACUCAGUGGAGUUUUUAUUAAAAAUUUAUUUGAAAAUGAUGGAAUUCAUUGGCCCAUAGGUACAUUGGGAAAUGUAUCUCUUUCCAGCUGUACUGUAGUGCCCUGCAGGCUUGUUUAUAUGUUCACAAUUACUUUUUUUUUUUUUUUAAUAAAAGUCAUUUACUGUAGAAUACUUUUAAUUUCACUUUCUGUAUUUUAAUUUUGUCGAAGG
This 45151-nucleotide long non-coding RNA is filed under the name Marmota monax (woodchuck). The stretch from base 1491 to 1561 matches the Rfam family "tRNA". Lineage: Eukaryota; Metazoa; Chordata; Mammalia; Rodentia; Sciuridae. The record is from RNAcentral.